Molecule: long non-coding RNA, 64275 nt
Filed under: Vitis vinifera (wine grape)
Lineage: Eukaryota; Viridiplantae; Streptophyta; Magnoliopsida; Vitales; Vitaceae
Description: long non-coding RNA (VVIN_LNC005892)
Source: RNAcentral
CCAAGAGGAGGAAUAGAAAUGUAUCAUAUCCUAAAUAGAACCUAAGUUCUUCCAUUUAUCCUACAAAUCCUCACAUUCCUCUUUCUCCAAACUAUGCAUAACUAGGCAAGCCCCACUCACCAAAGUACCACUCUAAGAGUAUUCUCAAACCUGCUAAAAGAGAUAAUCACAUAUCGUGCCAAAGGCUCAAAGUCACCACAUAAUGCACAAAAAAAAAAAAAAAAGUGAUCAAUUGGAUCUUAACUUCUUCGACGCAAAACAUAGAAAUUCCAGGUUGAAAGCUUUGAAAGACGUUACUGAUGGCAAAUUGUUAGUGUUGACUUUAUCAUUGGCCACUAACCAUGUAGAAGCCUAAACUUUAGAUUUCCAAAUGACUCUAUCUUGAGAACCUUCAUAGCCAUUUCACUAAGAGUGCUCUAUUCCUCAAACAAAUUUUCCUUGAACUCAACUUUCCUUCCCCUUUUGACUAACUCACUUGGUACCAACUAAUGAAUGGAUCCCUCUUUAGUCCUUCCUUCUCCAACUCCAAAAGAAAGAAUCUAUUUGUAGUUUCUCAAUCCUAAAUGCCACCAUAGCUUCUCAAUCCUACAAAAAGAUUAUUUUGCUGCCUUAGGGCAAGAAGACUUUCUUCCAAUCAUCCAAUUCUCAAUAAAUCCUAUCAACUACCAGGUCCCAAAACAAAGCAACUCCAAUACCUAAAUACAAAACGGGUAAAUCUAAGACAUCACACCCUAGCAAGGUAGCCAAACUUGUGAUAUGAUCCUAACUCACAUUGACACCUAAAAGAGAGUUUUUCUCUAGAUUAAUCUUAAGACUUGAAAUGCAUCUACCAACAAAAUGAGUUUAAGACUUUGUAUAUCUUCUGUUCUAGCGCUUCAAAUAAAAUACAAUAUAAUCUAUGAACUACAAAUAGGAAAACUUAGUUCUACUUCUACCCACUAAAAAAAUCCUCUAAGAUGCCAUGUUGUUUAUCUCUUACCAAAGUUUACUCAAAACAUCAGCUAGAAUGGGAAAAAAUAAAGGUGAAAGUGGAUCUUCUUGUCUUAACCCUCUAGAAGCCUUAACCCAUUCUUUGGCACAACCAUUUUCUAAAACAACCCUUAAUCCAAUACCUCCAUUUGAACCAAAGCCUCUUUCUUUAUUUUUGAUAGGAAAACAAGAAUAUAUAGAAGACGCCAAUCAAAGAGAGGAGGGCUUAACCCAAGUAGACAAGAGAUAUAGAAACACCUCAAAUGAGCACACAAAACACCCUCUCACUAAAACUUAACCAAUCAAUAAAAUCUAACAAGAAUACAAGAUUAUCUUGAAUAUGUUGGUGAGUCCAAAGGAAAAGGGUACAAAUAAGAGUCUUUUAGUACAAGUAAGAUUGAAGUCUUUUCUUUCAAGGGCAUGGUCUAAAAAACCUCAAUCCAUAUUAUCGUAAGCCUUCUCAAAUUAAUCUUGAAAACUAUUUGCUCCUCAUUUGAGCACUUUUUCUUAUCCACUACUUCAUUUGCCACUAAAAUUGCAUCUAUAUUCCUUCAAUAAAAGCUCCUUAAGAAAUAUGGAUAGUCUCAUCAAGAAUCCCUCAAAUGUGGUGUUACAAAACCUUGGCAAUUAUCUUAUGAAGACUUGUACCAAACUAAUGGGUAUAAAAUUUUAUAUUCUAAUAGUUCAACUCCUUUUAGGAACAUGAGCUAUAAAAGUGGUAUCAAUACUACUUAUCAAAAAAAGAAAUAAAUAAAUAAAAGUGGUAUCAGUGCUAUCAUUUAGUAACCAGAUCCCAACACUAUUGAUACAAAACUAGGGGGAAAACAUUAAACCCCAGAGCUUUUUCCUUAUCAAAUUGGAAGACUAUUUCACAAACUUCCUUUUUUGAGAAGUGAAGAUCUGACUAAAUAGCCCUCUGUUCAAAAUUAAAAAGAAACUAUGACACAUAAUAAUAAAUUGAACUCCUAAUUAGAGAGUAAUUAUAAUAUUUAAUCAACAAAAGAACAAAAAGAAAAGAAAACUUUCAUGAGCAUUGUUUUUGCAAGUAAUGCAUAUCAAAUGCAACCAAAGUUGGAUAAUCCACAAGCACAAGUAAUACAAAUGGACUUGCUGAAAAUCAGGAAGGCACUCACUGGAAUACAUGUUGGGAACAACUUUCAAUGUCACCUGUUAAAAUCAGUUGCCUAAGGUCAUAGACAUGCUUUCUUUGCACCUGAUAAAAGGGAAUCAAACAUUUAAUUCAAGCUGCUAAUGGAUGAAAAGUAGUUUGUUUUCUGAAUAAAGUAAAUAGUUCAAACAGUCUGGGUUUCAGAUAUAAAAAAAAAUGAAGCUUUUUUUCCAAAAAAUUCCAAUAAAUAAGAUAUUUAGAAAAGUCAAACAUCAAUGGUCUCUCUAACAAGUUCAAGUGCCUCGAAUUUAAGGAAGACGUGCUUCAAAACGGUUUUUACUUUGUGCAAAUUGAAGGACUUUAAAAUGCAUCAAACUAACCUGAGAUGUUUUUAGCAUGUUGUCAGAGAGAAACUUCAAAUUAGAUGAACUUAGCAAGCAACCAAGCACAAAUUUAUUUAUAACCCAAAACAAGUAGAUGAUUGGGUCAUCAUCAUAGUAACUGCGUCAAAUCAAGCUUUGUUAUUAUCAAAAGCAUACCUCUAAUACUUCAUCGAACUCAACCAAGCUCUUUCUUAUGCCAAAGAAGUACUUCUCCGCAUUGAUUUGAAGGGCCAAGAGCUAACAUUUUGCAAUGGUUAAAGAGAGUAGUAAGGAGAAAUUUUUAUAAAACACAGAUAUGUAAAAGGAAAGCAGAAAAGAAAUGGUCAUCUUGGACAUAAGCUUGAUCAGCACCUGUUUUACAAUUGCAUCACCUUCAAUUGGUAUAUCUUCAUCAUUUGUAAUCUUUGAUAUAAGUCUUACAGCCCACUCAGUAUCAAAAUUAAAUUUCUGAAACAUCUCAUCCUGCAAGCUGUCACAAAAAUAGAUCAUGUAAAUUUAGUUGAGGCAUCUCUCUCACAGGCCUCCCCCCCUUUUGACUGUGUUUUCCUUCUUGAAAAAUAACAAAAUUAGCCAAAAGAUAGAAGGGAGGAGAAAAAAACAAAGCACAAACCACCACAAUGGUAAAGGUAUUUGUUGCCAAAUGGUCAACAAGAACAUGGUUUACAAGCAAUUUUACAACAAUUGGCAUUUGGUUUACUGUAUUAUUGUUUCUUUUUCUUUUGGAUAGAAACCCUGUUCAUAUAGAAAAUGUUAUCUAACUACCCAACUAAAAACUGAGAGAAGAACCAUUAAAACUAACAGCCUUACUUUCCUAUUUAAACUUCCCACCUGGUACCAUCUCAUAAUGAAGUUUAUAUACUUCACCCAUCUCUCUCCCAAAUAAAUAAAUACCAAAAGCAAAGACUCGUAAACUUUGCUGCUUUAGUCCAUUCUCUACCAGAUAAAACUGAUUCCUCAAAAUAUAAUGUUUUGAUUUUCAUUAAUUGCAAAAGAGGAUGAUGAACUAUAUCUCUGUGUCGUUUCCAAUCAAAAAAAAAAAAAAAAGAGGAUGAUGAACUUCUAUCAAAAAAAAGAGGAUGAUGAAUUAAGAACUGGGUUUUGAGAAAUACACAACAUAGAGGUGGCCACUAGCUUAAUAAGCAUCCGCAUGAUUGAUAGCUACUCAGUAUCGUAAUUCGUAACUUCAAAUAUGAUAUAUACAAAUAUGAUAGCUACUCACUAGCUUAAAACUCUGGUGAGUCACGUUGAGCCACAUUGAGCUACACUACUUUUAUAUAAGAAAAUUUUUUCCAAUGUGAUUUCAGAGAUAAGUGCUCAUCUUACACUCAGCUUAAAUGAGAUCAUUGAUCUGAAUAGUACCUCACCAUAAACCGUGUUGAUCCAGGAUCCCCUUGUCUGCCUGCUCUACCACGAAGCUGCAAAAAAGCAUUAUAACUUAGGGAUAAAAGCAUACAGAAUUGAUCAAUGAUUACCAAAAAACUCAAGUCUUAGAUCAACCGGACUAACAUGGUUAUAAGUUGACACAUCAUCUUUACUGAUGAAAGCAACAACCUCCAUGAGUGCUGACUCAAGGAAGAGUUUUUUUUUUCUGUUUUUUUUUUUUUUUUUUUUCCAAUAGGCAAAUGAAGAUUAUAUUAGCCUCCUCAAGGUAGCAUUAUGUCAACCAUUUGGGGGAGGCUGCACGUAUGUUAUUUCACCAUACCAUUCUAUCUUAUGGUUAUACUUUUUGAGUAUCUUAACUUCCAAGGAAGAAAAGAAAAAUUCAGGAUUCUUGUUUUUAAUGAUCUCUUUGAUGAUUCUGGCUGGUUUUAUGAAGGGAUUAGGGACAAAAUAGGUUGGGUUGCAUCAAAUAAUGAAGGCAAUAUGUGAAAAAGAGAAGCAGCACAAAUUAGCCAUAGCAAAUUACUAACAACCAACUCUAUAAACAGGUUGUGUUGCUUCAAAUAAUUUUUUUUUUUUUUCUUUGAUAGGUGUUGAGUUGCUUCAAAUAACAAAGCCAAUAUGUGAAAAUGAGAAGCGGCACAAAUUAAUCAAAGCAAAUUAAAAAGAAUCACGUCUAAACAGGUUGAGUUGCAUCAAAUACUGAAGAUGAUAUGUGAAAAUGAAAAGCAGCACAAAUUAAUCAUAGAAACCUACUAUGAAUCAAAUCUAAACAGGUUGAGUCGCACCCAAUAAUAAAGGCAAUAUGUGAAAAUGAGAAGCAGCACAAAUCAAUCAAAGCAAAUUACAAAGAAUCACGUCUAAACAGGUUGAGUUGCAUCAAAUACUGAAGAUGAUAUGUGAAAAUGAAAAGCAGCACAAAUUAAUCAUAGAAACCUGCUAUGAAUCAAAUCUAAACAGGUUGAGUCGCACCCAAAAAUAAAGGCAAUAUGUGAAAAUGAGAAGCAGCAGAGAUUAAUUAAAACAAAUUACUAAGAAUCAAAUCUUCAAGGGGUAAUACUCAAGAGAUGCCAUUCCACAUAUUCCUUCAUUUAUCUACUUGUAUAUUAUUAUAUAAUGAGAAUCAACCCUUCAGCAUUUUCUAUUAAUAUGGCACUGGGCAACGAGAAAUUGUAAACAAUGCAUUGCAGGAAGUUGUACCAAACAAUUUUUCUUCAAAAUACUAAGAAAACAUCCAAAAAGGUAUAUCUAUCUAGAAACAGGAGCACCAAUGAAUGGAAACACCUCUGACAGAUUCAGCAAAAUGCUUAGUAGCAGGGAAAACAUGAUCUCCACAUCAAACCAAUUGAUGUAUUGACAAGUCAGCUAAAAAAUAUGACACGAUUGCCUUCAGUAGACAUGCUUCACUAAAACAAACCUAAAGGAACCUAACAGCACAUACAAAUCCUGAUUAGGCCUGAACUUCAAAGAAGGGAUUGAUCUACCGAAGGCGGCGUCCGUGAUGAACUUAAGUCUCAUUCAACUAUAAAAUCCUCUAUAAAAGGUUUCUUUCCCAACCAUUGGAUAUCUCUGGUUCAGAAUAUGAUAACGCUCCCAAAGUUGGAUAUGUUAGAUCCCUUGGUUAUCACUCAAAGAGCACCCUGAUGCUGCUCUGCCUCAAUUUCACUCUAUUGAGACAUUAGCCUUGAGUUUGUCACUUUGGAUAAGGAGGUUCCCAUGUAAGAAAAGUCAUCUUGGUUGACUGAGUUGUAGAUACCACCCGCAUUGUUCUUCACAACAAGGCCUUUUAAGAGUCAUGAGAGAUCCCCAUUUCUGGGAAAAGAAAGGUCAAAAGUAAGAUUGAUGGGGAGCCCUGUCCUCCAACCAUCCCCAGCUAAGAAUGUUCUGUCAUAGCCUUUCACUAAGACAGUAGUUUUAACAUAAGGAGUCAAUUUAGGCAGUGCUGUGAAACAAGUUUUCCCUCAAGAGGAGUUAUUAUUGUUUCAUAGGAAAGCUCUCUUAUUAGCAAAGGCAAUCUAGUGAUCUACAAUGACCUUUUACUCGGAUUGUCUACUUGAAAUAUUGAAUAUGUCAUCACUCAAAUGGUAUAUUUAAAAGGCCCUCAAAUAUCAAGUCUCUCAAAUUUUCCUUUCACCUCUUCAUACUCAUGCAUUUCAUGAGGUGUAAAUACAGAUAAUUAGAGCAUGUUUAAAACAGUCAAAAAAAAGAAAACACCCAAUAGAAAUUUUGGGUUAUUUAUUUUUGGAAAAUUGCUGCCAGAAAACAUUAGCAAUAAAAUAAAAUAAAAUAAUUAAAAAAAAAAAAGAUGUUUCCCUGAAACAAUAAAUUGAUGUUCUUUGCAGGCUUUGGAAACAUGUUCUCACAAUUUACUUAAAACACCAAUACAAUUGAAAAUGCAGAAGCUUUUAAAUGAGUUGAUGAUGUUCAUAAUCCAAGAUCUAACUACAUAAUGUCCUAGGAAGAGUGAAAAAGAUCUAGAAUAAUUAUAAGAUCAAGGUUUUAGAGAGAGAAGGAUACAAAAACAAUUAAAACUCAAAACAAUAUUUCAAAUGAUAUUUCAAACUUGAAAAGAGGUAUAAUGCCAUUAGAAUUCUGACCAUAUAUGAAAUUCAAGAUGGCAUUCCCCUAACUGUAAGAAACUUGUAGAUAUAUUAGCAGGACAGAUAAAAUGAAAAAAAAAAAAAAACUACCACACUGGAUAACAAUUAAAAACGGAAGACAGGAGGAAAAAGGAUGAGAAAAUAUCCCUUAACUCCUUGAUUUAAAGAAAAGGUUUUGUAAAAAAUACUAGGGCAUAGAAUCAACCCAUUUUUAUGUGCUCCUUUUUCUUAUGAUUCUCAUGACCAUUUAAUUUAUUAAAGGUGUGCACAAAUUUUCUCAAUCCCACACUUUUAAACAAACAUGAAACUUAAGCACAAGGUUCAAACAAGAAGCUAUAAAUCUCUUAAGGCUUAAAGUUGAUGGUUUGACGUCAAAAAUUACAGGAAAAAUAUAUAUAUAUAGAUAAGAGGUGAGGUAACAAAUUACAGGAUAUAUAUGUAUGUGUGUGUGUGUGUGCGCGCGCAUGCGUGUAUGUAUGUAUAAGAGGUACAUAAUUUCAAAGAACAAUGAUUCCCAGCAUAAGUAAAAACAUACUCUGCAAAAGAACUCCCUUCCUAAAAAGCCGGUUCACAUAUGUAUAUGGGAUCAAUUACAUAGGUUCAAUUGCAUGAAUCUUUUUUCACCAUUCAUCACAAGAAUCCAUUUUGACCAUUCAUGACUACAUAGAGACAUAUCUAACCAAAAAUUUUCAGGACUCAGUGUUUACAAGAUUUGUAAUCAUACAGUAGAGAGUCAGACUUCCAAGAUACACAUAAGUUAAAAGGGAAGCUCUUUGGCAUUGAAAAUUCUGGAACCAACUAUUAAAUACAUAAGGCUUCUGUAUUUAAUAUACAUUUUGAAACAAAAUAUGACCAAGACAACGGUGCGCUUCAAAAAGGAAAUUUAGGAGAUAAAAAACUAGCUAGAUAAGCUUAGAAUAUGAUAAAUAUUUUUUUGCUGUCAUUAUCAUUGAUGUGAUGAUAAUGACAACCAAAAUGACAGGCUCUGUGCUUUUAUGCGUGCAAAUUAAAGUAUUGACAAAGUUCUCUUAUAGCUACGAACGAUGUUUGUGAAAAAAGAGGUACCAAUCUAAUAGAUCCAUAAUGAGCUACAGAUACAGAUUUUACACACUCUGCAGUGCAUAUGGAUUUUGCAUUGCAAUUAGAACUCAUAUCAUGCUUAUCAGAUCUGAAGUAUUAUACCACUGAUUCUUACACAUAUACAUGCCUUAGAUAAUAAAUGACCUAAAUCUCUUCACUACAUGCAUCAAAUGGUUCAGGAGAAGAAAGUGAUUCCAAUGUGAGAUUUCAAACCAUGGAAGGCCCAGAAUGUAACAUUAGCAGUAACUUUGCACUUCUACUUAGUUUUAGGUUAUUGCUACGUCUGAACUUGUCAGUGCAUUCUCACCUGGUUAUCAAUCCUUCGAGAUUCAUGCAAGGAUGUGCCAAUCACAUGAAGCCCCCCAAGCCUUUUCACUUCGGAUCCUUCACUCAAGCAGUGUGCUUCACAAUCCUUCAAAACUGAUAGAUAAGCUAGUGCUAUAGUAGGGCCAAGAGGGUACAUCUCAGACUGUUCAUUAGCAAGCUUCUCUAGCUCUUUCCAAUCUAUGGACUGACUCAUUUCCACAGAUUCUGAGAUCAUAGAUUUUGCCUUUUGAUAUGUCCAGCUCUUACCCUCACCUUUGCUCACAUAUUUAGCUGUGUAAUUUAUUUUACAAUCACAAGAUUCUCAAAAAAAAUGAAUGAAGAAAAUUAAUUUCACAAAUUUAUAGUAUCUGAAAUGAGCUUUCAAUAAAAGAUGUCGAGAGUAGGGCCACUGACCCAUUAGGGCUGUCUUAGCUAGCAAAGCAAGUGAAGCAGAACCAAUCUUUAUCUUUGACAAUACCUGCACCAAAAGAAUGAUCAGAAACUAAAUAUAUUUGUUUUGGCAUCAAAUAAUAACCAAAUGUAAUCACCUUUUGAGAAGUUGGCUCGCCAUCAACUUCAACAUUGGGAGCUUCUUGAGUCAAGAAUGAAAGUAAGCUGUCUUCUAUAACUUCUUUUGCAAGCAUCUUGAAUAUUACAACCAUCAAAGUGUAAAAAAAUUGCUUGUAUAAGAAAAAUUGCCAAAAUAUUAAAGCACAAAAGAUAAUGAUGAACUUCUCAUAUAUACAUAUAUAUCAAAGGAAUGCUCUCUCUCUCUCUCUCUCUCUAUACAUAUAUAUCAAAGGAAUAUUCCAAAGAGAGAAAAAUGCAAAUUAGUAAAAUAAUGAUUUUAUGGUUGGAAACAAUAUCAUCUAACCCUCAAAGCAUUACCCAGAAAUUGCAAAGGGCACUGCAAUCCAUUUGUUUUAAAGCAACUAAAAUAAGUCAUCCAAUAGGUACACCUACUUUUGGAUUUCCUCCUAGGAUUAUGUCAGUGCCUCUGCCAGCCAUAUUUGUAGAAAUGGUGAUAGCAAAUUUCCGCCCUGCUUGAGCAACAAUUUCAGCCUCCCUUGCAGCAUACUGAAACAACAGAAAAGCAAGAUGGUGAAAAGAAUAUAUGUGUGUGCACAAACACAUAAAGAUACUAUAAGUAGCAUCACAGGGGCAUUGCCCCCCUCAAAUGUCAAAAUGACAAACUAAGUAUCAUACUAUAAGGUCUUAAAAAUUCAUAUCUUAGUAAACCUUAGGUCGUGCAUUGAGGACAUUGUGGGGGAUUUUUCGUUCCUUCAGCAGAUCGGACAAAUAUUCUGAAUUCUCAACACUGCAUCAGGAAGAUGAAAGAUCUUAGAGAUGGAUAUGCAGAAACUUUGAACCACGUGAAAUAUAACCAAACUUGAAAUUCUACCAUGCAUAAACAAAUAAAAUAGAGAUCAUGAUUCAUACCCCCACAGCUGAGUAUUUACCAUCUAAUUAUACCAAAGUCAAGCAUGAGUAAAACAUAUCAUAAGAAAAAAUGGCAGUAUGAUAAAACCACAUUCCUACAAAAUAACUAAGUAAAAAACAAAACUGUUUUGAGUUCCAUAAUUAAUAUCUUAAAUUUUUAUUGUUGGGAAAAGUGAUCCGGCAUGUAUUGUAAACUCAUAGUCUUAAACUGGAAUCUGGAUUGCCAUUCUUUAAUUUCCUCUAUUCCACUUUCCUUCAAUUUUGAAAUAUUAAAUAUAAGAUAACUAUUAUGUUACAUUCAGCCUGAUGUCACAUAUAAGAAGCAGAAACUCUAAAACCCGUCACUAUGGUACACCCCUACAUCACUCAGCAUAAUCAAGGUCAUCAAAAACCCCUUCAUAAGUUCUGAAAGAAAUUAAGUGUAGUAGCUUGGGAGGAGUUGAUUACUUAGAAAAUGCUGAGAGUUUUAAAAGUCCCAAUCAUAGCACUUAGCUUUAGGGGACUUCUCAUACUGAGCAUCAUCAUAUGGUUAUGCAUUUUCCUUAUCAUGGAUGUUUCCUCUUCAUCCAACCAACAAAGAAGGCAUUAGUAGACCCCAGAUAUUUCCAAGCUAGCAACCACAUGGAGCAUUAAGGUGGUUGGACAUUUCUGGCUCGACAACAGUCACACUGUUGGUUCUUGAAUGGCAUGCUCUCAAGUCUCCACCCCCUAAUGCCCCCCCUCUUCAGGUGAGGGCAAGGUGACUCAUCAUGCAAGGGAAGAGCUUUUGAUGAUCACUAGUGAUUCUUAGCUGACAAAAAUUAGUUGGGUAAGCACUGUUGAAUUUUUCUCAGGAGUAACUAUUUAACAUGAUAAUGGCAAUAGGCUUCUUUGAUCAUUUAUCAAAAGAAAGGAUAAAAGAAAAUAAGUAAGACCGCUACCUCGUAACUGACCCUGAACAGGACAAUGAUUUACAACAGUGAUUGCAUGGAUCAAUUUUAUCCACAAUGAUUAGUUUCAGGUGUCAAGAAGGACCAAAAUCUUUUUAACAUAAAAUAAUAAGAUAAAAAUACAGAUAAAAUCCAACCAUUCAUUACUAUCAAGUACAAAGAAUCAGAAUCCUACAGGCUAAUCAUCAACAUACGGCAUUAUGUCCCUCAGCAUGGGCAGGCUGAUGGAAUCCUUAUUGACAACAAGGCAUUCCUUUGAGCUUUUGGGGUUGAAUCUAGCUAUGUGUAAUUGUGUAUGGAGCCAUUUUAACCAAAUAAAGCUAUGAAAGACAAGAAGAGGGAGGAAAGAGAUCUUUCUACUAUAUUCUUACACAAAAAAGUAAUGUCAAGUAAAGAAGAUUCCUUAGAAACCAUUUUUUUUUCCUUUCUUUCUUUCUUUUUAUUUCUCCAUUUCAUAAGAUAAUAAAAGCAAAUCAAUUACCCAGUGGAAUGAUAAUUUGUGACAGAAAUAUGCCUGCAUUUUCACUCUAUAUUCUUUUCUAAUAAAUCAGUUUGGCUCUCCAGUCAAUUUUAUGGUGGAUACAGAUAUGAAGAUAGCCGGUCCCUAGGUACUCCCCUAACCUUGAAACCUCUGUAAAAGUAUGUGUAAGUAAAUAAAAGGCAUACUAUAAAUUCUGUGUUAUUAUUAUAUGCUAUGAGAAUGCUAUGAAUUAAGUUAUUCUUGCCCAGCAUGUCCAAGAUAGUGCAACAUGAAAAACAAAGUUGAUCUCAAUGCAGUAACUUUUGUUUAUGAAACAAAUCUUAGAAUGUAAUAAUAUAACACAAAUCAAAAUAGUCUCACACAGAAGUCUAGAGAGAUUCUGAAGAAAUAUGAAUGACAUUAGCAAGUAACUGCCAUAGAGUUACCUAGUGGUGCCAACUAAAACAGGACGACCCUGUCUGAACAUGUAUUCAACUUCUUCACGAACAUUUUCCCACUUUCCACGAGCAGUCUUAGACAAACCCAAAGCAAGUCAAAUUGAAAGAAAAAGGUUCUGUUGCAGGAAGAGGGAAAUAUUAAUCAAAAUGGACUAUGAAGAUUGAAUGUCCUACCGCAAAAGCUUGGAUGGGUAAAUCUUUACGAAUAUUUGGCAGAUUUGGGGGCACUUCAAUAACAGGCAUCUGGAACAUUUUUAAGAACUCUUUCUCCUGAAACAAUGAAUGAGAAGAUUUUUUCAUAAGAAUUCAAAUUAGAAUUAAUAAGGUAGAACAAACAUUUAUUAUAAAUAGUUAACCACGAUGCCAGAAUCCAUAACAGUGUUUAUACUUCAGUUUUCGCAGUCCCUGUCAUCCCUGACAGCUUCGGAUAGAGCUUAAACAGAGAUUGAUACGUGAUUUGUGCCACCACAACCGAAUCAGCCUAAAAAGAAUAUGAAAAAUACAGCUUUAAAUCAGAUAAAUACAAGUGGAUUUCAAAGUAAAAUAUAAAACAAAAUUCAGAAGUAUAUUGUCAAACAUCAAGAUGUACCUGAAUCUUCAGACCUUCUUUAGCCUCUACAGCCUGGUGAAUCCCCUCAGACCAUCUUCGCUUUUCUUCAACUCUCCCAGUCAACUGCAGAAAUCUUUUCGGAAUUAUCAUCUUAUUACAAAAAAAACAAAAAAAAAACAAGAAUCUUCAAAUGUACUUGCCUAUGAGAAACAACAUCACCAUCAUCAUGUUUAUCCAAGACUGUACGAAUUAUGUUCUAAGCAACAACCAGAUUGAACACAACUCCAACAAAAAUACUCAAUUGAAGACAAACAUGUUUCAGAUAGUGUGUGCUUUAGACAAAUCUUUAAGCAGCAAAUAUUUUUAACUUGGGAUUACAGAGCUGAAACUACUCAAAGCCACAUUUUUUACCUAGGAUUUUUCAAUGGAAAAAUAUGGAGGGAUUUGCAGUUGUUGAUCUACAAUAAAUUUUUUCCAUGAUUUCUCUGCAACUGUAUGGUAGAAUCAAAACAAAAAUCAACUACACAUUCUUUUCCUCCUAUUUUUUUGUUCAAAGGACAUGACAGUGACAAGCUGCAAGUUACGUGCAAUGCUAAGAAAUGGCAACCUUGCCAUGUCCGCUAUCAAUGAAGGCCUCUAAACUGUAGAGGGUACAGCUGAUCUCCAACCUAUAAAAAAAAUGCCUAUGAUACAAAUAUGUCUAUAAUGCAGAAUUUCUUCAUUAUUACUGCUUUAAGAGGCACAAAGAGCUGGAUCUAUUAGCAAUUUUUACUUUCCAAACACAACCAUUUAUUUGACUACAAAUUACAAUGGAAGACCCACCAUACGUACAACGUAUGUCCACCUUUUUGGUUCCCACUCCCUUUUACGCCUUGGCUUCAAAUGCCACCCCCCACCCCACCAAAAAAAAAAGAAAAAGAAAGAAAGAAGCAAAAGAAGCUUCCACCUCAAGCACCCACUAAUACUUCUUAAUUAAUAGAUAAUACCAUCAAAUAUCACACUGUACAAUCAGAUGAAGACUUAUACUUCAUAUAUGCUUCGACUUUUAGAAAAACCAAAAGGUUGAAGCAUUUGGUGACUUAUAAUACAUGAUUUAUGUUCCAGUUAAAAUAGUUCUGAACAUCAAUGUUAGAGAUUGCAGUCUUUUCAUGUGAUUCAUGUCCAAACUCUCAUUUUCCAUUUUCUUCUAGUAAGAGUUGCAUUUGCAACUGAAUGAUCUAUAACCAACACAACUCUAAAUUUUGACUAUUUGAUAGUUCUUGCUCCUUAUAAGUCAUAAGACUCAUAAUUCUACUACUCCAGCUCGAUUUCUUCUCUUUAAUAAACAAUACAUCAUUUAUAAAAUUGGAUUCAAUUGAUUUUUUUCUUUCUAGAGUCUGGCUGGUUUUCCUUCUAUUAUUACUCUCUGAAUCUCUCCAAUGUCAUUCAUUUUUUUUUUUGAAACAAAGAUAUAUUAGAUACGGACAAAAAAAAAACAAGAGAAGGAUGAGGGAUCCUCCCCACAAAAUAAAAGAAUCUGAUCAGAAUAUGACUGAAGCUCCUCCACUAUUCAAAGGAACUUGUACAAAAAUUAGUCCAUUUAUGGCUAUAUAUAUAUAUAUAUUUUUUUUUUUUUGAUAAGUCCAUUUAUGGCUAUAUAUCAAGUCUUAUAAAGCGCUUCUCUCAUUGUUGUCCAAACCUUUUAAUUUAUAGACUAAACGCCAAUUAAGUUGAAUAACAUUGAGUGAGUGCCUCUAAAUGUAGUAGUAUAAGAGGCUCAUAAGGAGGAAUAAAAGUAAAGUAAAUCCCACAACAUCUCUACCGUCCUCCAUUUUUACUCAAAGAUCCUAACAUUUUUCUCUCACCACACAAUCCAAGACAAAGUGGGGCAAGUGAUUUGCCAAAAGGUCUUGCCUCUAACAGAACUUUUCAAUCCUCCAAAAAAAAAACUGGUCAUCAUGUAACAUAUACUCCUGAGCAAAACUCAAUCCAUCCUAGCUAGACUAAAUAACUUGUGUCACAACCCCAGAGUUAUCGAACAAUGUAGAAGUAGAUAGUCAAUCAACUCUUCAAUGUUGUUCAUGAAUCUCGCUUAUUUUCUGCUAUAAGUGUAUCUCCUCGUCUCUUCUAGUUUGGUUGAAAAGUCCUGUAAUUUCAAAUUUUCCAGAUAAUCCUUAAAUUGUUGGGGGAAUCUGUCAUAUUCCUUGUGGAUUUCUGUAUAUAGUGUGAAUUAUCUUCUAUUUUAAUUUAUUAAGAAAUAAAUUGUCAGAAAUCCGCAUUAUAUUACAGUAAUCAGCCAAACCAGAUGGUUGGCCAGCUGAACUGUGAGCCAGUUCCUUUUACAUGUUGACGAAUAAUCAGGGUUUUAAAGGAUCUACAACAGUCAUCCUUUAUCAUGAUGGAAAUCAUGAACACAUGGACUAAGAAAGAAAUGAUGAAAUAUUCCAUAAAAGUGACAGGAGAUAAUGAUAGAGAAAUGGAAAAUAUUAUGAUACCAAAAGAUAUACAAAUGAUGGUAAUACCUCAUUGAUAAUAAGAGCCUUCCCAUUCCUAACAAUGUAUUGAACAUUCCGCCGAUAGAACUCUUUGGCCUUCAAAGCAUUCAUCACAAACCUACAAUGUUCCAUUGAAAUUGAAAUCCAAGUGGGAACACAUAACUAAGUAUGCCCAUUAUCUAGAAGAGAAAAUGAACUAUUUUAAAAUUUAAACACAAUGUUUGACAACCAGCAGGUUACAAGACCACAAUUCUGUUCAGUUGUUUAUGGAUAGUGAACUGAAUAGGACAAAAUUUGUUUAAAGUUUUCCAGAAAAAAACAAAAUGGAAAUAUUUUUGUUGUGGAUAUUUGAAAGUAACAUUCUGAAAAGAGAUGAAAGAAGACGGUUGAAAGAACAAACAACUGUGAGCAUAUUCCACUUUUGGUCAACUCUGGCAAUGAUAUCACAGAGUGACAAAAAAAGUAAGAAAGUCAAUGUUCACCUAGCCCAAGGAUCAUUUUCAUCCCAUAGGUCAUUAGUUUCAAGAGCCAUCUCAGCAAGUGCAAUUCCUUCCUCAGUCAACUCCACUGAAUUAUCCUUAAGCUCCACAUUAUAAUGCUGUUAACGCAAUUUAUUUAUAGCAAGGGUUAAUAUUGUUUCCAAAGAAGAUAAGAAAUAUAUAACCCAAUACAAACUAUGCCAGUUGAGUCAGCCAAAUAUCCUAGUUCAACAGAAUAGAAAAGCAAGAAACUCACAAGUCCUCGAAUAAGCAGCUCAGCUAUUUUGGCAGCAACAGGAUAUCGUGCAGCAUCUUUACUAGCCUGAGAUGCAGAAUAAUAGAAACUAAAACACAAUACUUCUAUACUGCUGAAAUUUUUUGCUCAUGCUAUUACCUACAGCUACUAACUGGAAGUUGUAAUUUCAAACCUCAAAAGGAAAUCAAAACAUAGACAAAUAUUACCUCACCACUUAUUAACAAAGGAUUUCUUCCUUCAUCAAUAAGAACUGAAUCAACUUCAUCAACUAUGGCAAAAUGAAAUGGCUUUGGCCUGUUUUUCCACAGCACACUGCUAGUAGUCCAAUAAAACAACAAAAGACAAACUUCAUAUGGUGUCUGAAAAUGUACCAUCUCAUCACUAGUUGCCCACUAGUUCCAGCAAGAUUAUCUCGUAAAUAAUCAAAGCCCAGUUCCUGAUGACAUUCCAAACAAGGAUAUCAGAAAUAAGAAAAAAAAGGGAAGAUGCACUAACCAAGAUUCAACUGCUCCAAUGACACAAGAAAAUGUGAACAAGGCUGCCAAGCAACUACUAUACCACCAAAAGCAAAUACCAGAACAAAAAUUAUAAGUGGAGAUAUGCAACAAGAUAAAAUUGAAUAUGACUUACUGAAUUAUUGGUAUAUGUUAUAUCACAUCCAUAGUUGGAUCUUCUCUCUUCUGAUGUCAUCCCCCUCUAUAUAUGCAAGCAACAGAAGAUAAACUGUAGUGAAAUGCACUUAAUCUGACUGACUAGUGGUGGAAAUGGAAUAUCAAUAUGCAUAUGAAAUUGCCCAGAGUCAAAAUUAUGGUAUUACGAUACAAGUUGUCCAAUUGACCCACCCAAUGAAUGCAUUGAAAAGGACAGAAAAACCAUAACUUGAAAUUUUUAUGACUCACAAGCAGGAAAUCACACCUGAAUAAGACCCACUGAAAGACCUAGGAAACGAUGAACACGACCCAUCCACUCAGCAUCACGUUGGGCCAGAUAAUCAUUGACAGUUACCACUGAAGAAAAAAAUAAUUGAGCAAACAACAUCACAAGAUUUAACCAAAUAUGCAUCAAUGCAAUAUUUAUUCGACAAAAGCCUGGAAGUACUUGUAGAUUUGUAUUAAAUUGUAGCAAGUGGAUCACACCAAUGCAGGGCUACAAAAAAGAAAAUAAGAUAAAAAAUAAAAAAAAAUAAAAAGUGAAAUACUCUACCAAGAACAAAAUACCUGUAGAAGAAGAGGUUACAAGCACCUCUUACAUAAUCAGGUGCCUUCCCAACUCAUCUGAUCAUCUUCUGAUCAUUAUACACCUAUCUUCUCUAAAUGCCAUAUAUUAAACUCAUACCCUUUCACGUAGCCAUUCAUGUCACUAAGGUUACAUAUGAAGAGAGUCCCCAGUAAUUUUCUAAUAAUUCCUUUCUUCUUGAAUUUCUUGAAAAUUUUAAACCAUAGCCUUCCAAAAGCUCAGUUUCAUCUAGGAUUGGCACCUAUGAAGUAGAAUCAAAUUAUUAUGUUUUCCAGGUGGAAGUUUUCUGAAAUCUUAUCAGUUUUGUUACUUCCAAACUUUGCCAUGAAAGCAUUCUCCAAAACUAAUACACAACCUUUUUCUUUGAUCAAAUUAACUGAGAAUUGUUCCCAUUGUUGGAUUAGUAGCCAUUAACCCAUUUAUGUUGUAGAUUAAUGUUAUAUUUGUGGCUCAUCAACUCAUUUAAGGAGAGAAUAGUUGGAAUUGGUCUUCUAUAGAUGCCUUGAGCAUUGAAUUUUGGAAAGGCAACCAACACUACUUGAAUGGAAGUAGACUAAAAAUUCAGUUCGGCCAAUUAACCACCAAAUUCAUUAUCAGUCAAAACAAUUGAGAAUUUUAACUUUCUGAUAGUCACAAGCCAACACAGCAAAGUCCAGUUGGACAGAUGUGGAUUCACACAUUGAACAACUCAUCCAAAUUUCAUUUCUUCCGGAAGCCACACAUGUCAGCAUCUGAAAGACUAAAAAGUAAGUCCUGUAAAUCAACAAAAAAAAAAAAGCUUCCCUUGUUGGCAAGUUCCCUAGAUCAAGAAGGAAAAAUUAUUGAAUUAGAGAAGCAUGUUUCUCAAAUCUAGGUAUAAAAAUCCCUUAAAUUAAGGAAUUCAAAUUUAGGAAGAAUAAAUUAACACCCUUGCUUGACCUAUAAAUAGAGGUGUCUUUCUUUGACAUAUAACUCCCAAAAGAAAGAAAAAAGAAAAUUUAGAAGCCUCAUAUUGAAAAAUAAGCUCCCACAAGAUUGGACCCACUUUCAAACACUCAUUAACUAGCCAAUGGAAGAAUAUCAUAAGCAUAACAUUCAUGCCAUUUAUCCACCUUUAAACCUGAAGGCUAAAGUAAAUAUUCAUACAAUGUCCUUUUCCUCUGCAGACUAUUAAAAAGGAAAAUAUUACAAGCUUUUAUUCUAGAACAAGUGAUGCUUGGCCCUUGAAUUAAACUUUAUUUCAAGCAGAUGCAACCACCAGUCUUGGAUCAAAAUCAAGAAAGAUAACAAAAAUCAGAUGAUUCAUUUUGUACAAAAUAUACAUUGGACUUGUACCAAUCAUUUAUUUUGAAUCAAUACAAAUUUAUUUAAUUCGCUCUUUGUCUUUCCUUUUGAUUUGCAAGCUGUGAAAUUUGUUCAUACAAAAUGGAUUGAUGGGCCACUUACCUAGUGCACAGAUGGACCAAUGGGCACUAAUCUAACAUCUAUCCAUUUAUUAUUCGUAAAUUUAAGUAUGUUUAUUGUUAUAGUUGCUAACAUUUGAAUCCAUAGUUGUCAUGUGCCUAUUUUCCAAAGAGAGAUUCCCCAUUGCACAUUUGUGACAAAGAAGCCUCCAAAACCGGUUUUAAUGCCACCCCUAGUCCUAUCACUCUUUAAAUAAGACAAAUUUUAACAUUAACUUUCUGUCAGGAGACAUGUUCCAACUAACCAACUGAAGCCCAGAAGGAGAUCCCAGAAAAUAUAAUUAUUGAGACACCUAGCCUGAUUCUUGUACUCAUGGAUGUUUUCCACAAAUCAAUACAAGCAAUUCAAUUGCCUUGCUUACAUUUGAAUCAUUCUACUAGCACAUUUUCGAUGCCAUUGAAGAAAAACUAUGCAUGAUCGUUUCAUUCAUUUGCACACAUAAAAGCAACAACCACAUUUCAAACAAGUUAGGACAGAACACAUACCAUGAACACCCUCACCAGUGAGGGCAUUGAGAUAGGCUGCUAAUGUGGAAACCAAGGUUUUUCCUUCCCCCGUUUUCAUCUCAGCAAUGGACCCAUCAUGAAGCACAGCUCCACCAAUGAUCUAAAAAAAAAGAAUUUUGCAUAUUCGCAAGUGAAUAGAAAAAAACACCUUAUUACAUAAAUGCGUACGUACCUGGACAUCAAAAUGGCGCAUUCCAAGCUUCCUCCUCGCAGCCUCCCGGACAACUGCAAAUGCCUCUGAAAGAAAAAAGCAAAGUAACAUUGUAGCUCAAUCGUCUAUCCCUUAUCCAAAUAAACCAAAAAAAGAGGCACCAAACCAGCUUGAAUAUCCGCAAGCGUCUCUCCUUGUCUCAGCCGGACACGGAAGUCCACAGUUUUUGCAGCCAACUGCGAAAAUAAACCAAACCCAUAAUCUAGAACGGCUCAAACAAAAACGACUAUAGCUUUCAAGAAACAAGUGCGCAUAGAAAAACCUGUUCAUCAGAGAGUCUCUGAAUCUGCGGUUCGAGGGCGUUAACCGAGUUUACGAGACGGUAGUAGUCCCUAACCACCCAGUAGUUUAGGCUUGUAAGGUCACUCCAAUUCUUCCUCAGACGACCCAAAUUUUCCUAAAGCAAAAGAAACCCAAGAAAGUGGAAAACGAUCCACAGAAGCAUUUCAACGAACAAGCGAUGGACAGAACAUAAAUAUGCGAAUAAUUAAGCAACAAAGACCUUCAGAGAAGCGACCGCAACUAGGGGUCCAGGCCUAGAAAGACGCCGUUGCCGCCGAGACAGAGAAAGGGAAAGAGACGAAGAAUAUGAAAUGGGUCUGGUCCAAAAGAUGGCAUUGGGCCGUCUCGAAGGUUGCUCAGGAGUGAUGAAGGGCGGAUUCAGAACAGCAGACGCCGCCGCGGCCAUGGCGGUGCUCUAUGGGCUAAAGGCAACGCAAGUCUAGUGUUGCUGCUCCCAUUGAUCGGCAACGUUCGAGAAACGACACCUUUAGCUUCCGGAUUGACUGUUAAAUAGUGGCACCCGGUGCACUUUUUCGAGGGUCUAAGAGGCUUUUCCAACGGUUAAAUAAUGAAAAUCCUGAUUAACGUUUCUUGAUUUUCUUGAUCAUACGUUAAUAAAUUAUAAUGCUAUUUUUAGGACAGUUGUCCAAUCCCCCCUCUGUCAAAGAUUGCAUUUUCAUCCGUCAAUUUUAUUUUCAAUAUUUCAGUUGGAUAUAAUAUCCUACCUAAAUAUUUUUGUAAUUUAAAGAUUAAUUGAAAAAAAAAAGAAAGAAAAAAAAAAUGAGCGAGAUCUUUUGUUGUCUUUUAUUUUUUUAAUCGUUGUUCUCUUUAUUAUCACAAAUUAAUGUUCUCUUUAUAAUUUUUGAUAUGUUUCUAUUGGUUUUUGUAGUAUCAAGAUUAGUGGUCACAUUCCGCCUUUGGAUCAUAUGAACAAAUUGAUACUAAAAUCAAUUUAGGAGCUUUAUAAAACUUUAGGAAGUGUUUGGGAUAAUUUUUAAAUUUAUUACUGACAUACUUUAAUUAAUUUUGGAUUUAGAAAUUUAUAGCGUUUGAAUUGUGUACUAAUUACUAUUUUGAAUCAUUUCGAGAUAGUUGUCAACUAGUUACAUGUUGGAUUUGUUAGUUAAGGUCGUUUAUGUGUUGGGGUAUGGGUUUUUUGAUAUGUGAAAUAACCGUUUGGCAACAGAGUUGAAGAGUCACAGUUCACCUAACAUCUCUUAUUCCGUGCUUACUGAAUUUCAGCUGGAUCCAUGUAUACACUGUUCUCAUUUACAGUAUGAACAGAUAAUUUGCGAGAGUGCAUAAACAUCGUUUACAGAUAAUUUGUAAUCACCAUAAUCACCCUUGGCAGCUUCGCCAACGUAUUGAGUUUGGUUGACAUCUUCUUAAGCGAUGCUUCCAUCACUGCCCAGAAUACACCUGGUGAAAUUAAACAAAGAUUCAAUAACAGAAUGAACCAAGAGAUGGUACAUUGAACAUCAUAUAUUCCUGAACUAAAAUGAUCCAGUUUCUGCUCAGAAUGCUUGAAGUUAGUUUUCUUUAAGCAAAUUCUUAGCACAGGUAGACUAUUUUUUAGAUUUCAACAAGUAAUGGGGUCUUCAAACCUGUAAUUGUAACAAGAAGUUUUCUAGAUUGAAGUCUAUGGAUGGUCAGUCUCUCAUUAAAAAAGACGGAGAAAAAAGUAUAGCCUACCUUGAUAAUUCUAUCAGCACAGCCAACAAAAAGCUUUCCUUGCCAGUAUAACAGUGCAGUUACGGCGGAGUCGGAAGCAAUAGAUCCAACUGGCAAUGCUUCUAUUUGAAGAUCAUCUCCUGAUAUCUCCUACAAAUAAAGGGCCAUGAGACUGAUUCAUUGAGCAAAUGCAACAGACCUUUCAUUCAAGGUUAGAUUUAAAUAAAAACCAAAAGUUGAAAGAGAAAACAGAAUUGAAGGUUAAAAAGAACUUCAAAGUGCCAAUACGUUUUACAGCAUCCAUCAUUAAUUAUGCUUAUAAGCCAAACAAACACCAUUUUGCAAAUGUACCUGUACAUUGACACUCUUGUCCCAACCUCCUGUGAACAACCAUUUCCCUCCCAUGGCAACAGCAAAAACAGCACCAUCAUGGGCUUGUAUGGAUUUCAUAAACACAUCAUUCCUCCAGAUCUGGAAAAAGCGAUGAAGAAAGCAAAUGAAUGAUGAAACUAUUUAGUAAACCCACAACAGGUUCUCUACAUAAAAGGCAUUGGCAAUUUGGCAGAUACCAAUCCCCUCUUGGCCAAUGACUUCAUAAUACAGCACCGAGGCGCACUGCAAAUAAAGAUCAAGUUGUUUUUGGAACCAUUUGGGAUGCAUCCAUUUUUCUUUUACCCACGGUAUUGUGUUUAAGAGAUAUGAUCAUUUUAGAAUGAGGAUAAUUGAUAACCGUUUCUGUUCUUUGUAUUACAAUCUGGAGGCUGCUCUAUUUUACAUGACUAAAGUGAGAGUUCAAAGCCCACAUCAAUCAAAACUGGAUUAUUUUAUUUUCCAUGGAUGCACCAGAUGCCCCAUUGGAAGAUUACCAAUUCUAGUGUAGACUAAGUAGGGUUCAAGAAUCAGAAACCUUUAAGCAUCCGUCCUCAUGAGCUGCAAGAAGCAUAUGGUGGUCAGCUUUUAGAGACAAAACUGAGAUCACAUUUCCAGGUGUGUCUUCCCCCAAUACGGUCAAAGGACUAUGAUCAUUAAGAGACCACAGCCUGAUGGUCCCAUCCCAACUCCCACUGUAAAGAACACCGUCAGAAACUGCUAGCGCAGACACAACUGAUUUAUGACCAUUCAUAGUGCAUGAUAGGGUGCAAUCCUGUGGAAAUGGAAAAUAUUAAAAUGCAAAUAUGUAUUUUCACAUAAUGUCUGAACUCUGAAGAGAUAAACCAAGCAUGCUAUAUAGGAUUAUUUAGUCAGAGGAAAUUGCAUAAAAGCACAAGCCAUUACCUGCAAUGACCAUGCUUUUAUUGACUUAUCUCCACUGCCAGUAUAGAGAUAUCCAGUUCCAGAAAUUGCCAAGGCAUGAAUACCACUAUAGCGCCAAUCCUUUUGCUCAAACCAUUUCUUUAAUGGUUCUUGCCCCAGAGGGAUGCUAAUUCCCCAGACAAAAAUGCCACCUCCGAUAUCACCACUAAUGCACAAAGGUUGUUCUUCAUCCACAAAAACUACAGCCAUGACUCUAUGCUCAUGACCUCUAAAUUGAUGUACAAGGGUAAAGUCCUGCAUGAGAUAGAUGCACCAAUUCAAAAAGGGAAAAUUACAAGAAGAGAGAGAAUCUAAAUUCCAGGACAAGAAGAACAAAUUCAAUAUGUACUUCUGAUGAAUCCAUGCAAAGGUGAAAUAAACUUCUAGAUCCAGUUGAUUAGAGAUUGAUUGUUCACUGUGCUCUAUCACCACAAGCAACUUUUCUUAAGGGCAAUUUGAUUCUACUGUUUGGUAAAUCACAAUGCUGCAAAUCUAGAUAUUUUGGAGGUAUUCUAAACUUAGUCUAGCCCAUAGCUUAAAAUUCCUGCUUCCCAAUCCACUGAAAGCUGCCAACAGAGCAUGAAUACUUAACCCCCGAAACUCCCAAAAGAGGACUGAGCCAAAGCCCUUAGCAAGGGUAUAAUUACUCUCCAAUUCCUAAUAUGAUGCAAUUGAUAUAUAGAAUACGAUACCAUGUUGACUUUCUUUUAGUAGUGGUUGGGAAUAGUUUCUACAUAUGUGCAACAUUAUUCUUUUGACAACUUGUGUUCUCUGAGCUGUAUGUCCCAUAAUUAUACAUGUUCUGAUGAGAUACAACAAAUUGUAUAUGAACAAUUGAAAUGAGGAAAUCACAACAAAUCUAGUAGCAUGAACACAGAAUGUAAAGCAGUUCAUUUUAAAUAUACAACUUGAUUCACCCUCUGUUGUGGCAUUAAGCAAAAUUAUCCAGAAAAUGGGUUUAAGAGAUGCCAUACUAUUAUCCUAAUUGCAGCACCAAAUGGUCAAAUAUUUUGUUGAUAAUAAAUUUCAUAAAUCUUCAAAAUCAAGGAAAGUAUGCACUUAUAGUCAAACUUCAACAACUGUUAUUACCUGCAAAGACCAAACAUGGAUUGUUUUAUCGAAGGAGGAGCUAAACAGGAACCCCCCUAUAAAAGAAAGAAAAGAUACUCAAUGUAAUUCAAUCAAUUGGACAGGAAACUAACAAAAUAAAGUUGCUAAAGACAGGCACACCACGUAAAUCAAAUAGGGAAACCAAAGGAUCUUCACACCAUCACAACUAGCAAAGGGAAAACCACAUACAACAACUUAAAGAACUAGAUGGAUCCAUUUGAGAAACGUGAUGCGGGCUUGCUAUGAAUGGCUAGGUGAUCAUGAACUAAUAUCACAAAGAAAUCUCACAGCAUCUCAUCUCAAGUAAGUAGCUUUGAUAAUUUGAAAGAUUGAUAAAGAAGCUGGCAGCUUGCAUUUUACUAUCAUUUAGUAGACCAAAUACACUGAUUUUUAAAAAAAAUAAAAUAAAUAAAUAAAUAAAUAACUUUUAGGCAUAGGCAAAGUAUAAUGAAGGGAUAAGUCACCACCAUUUCACAUGUGUAUGGUUUGUUGGGUUUAUAGUACAAGGGCCAAACCAUGGCAGGGAGAAGCAUUUCUGUCAUGUGGAUGACAGAUACGAAGUUGCUUUUACACAGAGAUAACAGAAAUGCCCCUAUAUACCAUGACCAGGCACACUGAUAACUGGAAAAGGAAGAAAUUUAGCUCUUGAAUUUCAGCAUCCUCUGGCAAUAAGAUAACUCAACAGUCAUGAGCAGAAUAUAAGGUAAUAUGAAAAAUGAAUAUUUGGUACAGCAUCAUAUUAAAAAUCAAAAAGGACACAAAGUAUUUAUACCUCCAACAGCUAAUCCUGUAAUACAAUCAAGAUGGCCUUGCAGAUUUAUAGAUUUGACGGUAGAUCCAGAGAGACCCUCAAUGAAAUCUUUAUCAUCCUGCAAUUCCCCAGCUUGAUCAACAUUUUCUCUGCCGCUUUCAUCUGUCUUCACUGCUUUUGAUCCUUUAUUAGUUUCCUUGGGCAACUGACACAAUUCUCCAAGAACCAAGCAGUGCACAUUGUUGCCCUCAUUAACUGUUCCCUCUUGACUGACCAUAAUAUCAAAUUGAGGUUUUAUAACCAAUUCCCUAAUGCAUUUCCACACAUCAGCUACAAGUGGACGACUUUUUGGAUCCAAAUUCAAACAUUCACAGAGAAUCUUUUGCAGUGCUACAAAAUUUGUGCCCAGUUUAGUUUCCAACAAAGAACUGACUUCCUCCCUACAAUCCAUGUACACUUCUAAAUAAUCAGAAUGCCUUUUUGCACUUCUUAUAUGGAGUUCAGUGAAUGGGUUUCCAAUAAAAAGCCUGAGCAACAUACAAGCUAAUGACCAAACAUCAGAGCUAUAUCCAACUGAAUAACUUAAACUGUCGCAUUCUAGUUCAAUGCCCUCUUUCUGCAAUAACUCAAUGAACACUUCUGGGCUCAGAAAUGCCUCUCUUUUUAUUAGAUUGGUUGAUAUUAUUCCCAUUUCCUUAUCAUCAAUUCUCCUCCUACCUGAAACACUCUCCACAAGGCUCCUAUGAAUCUUCCUUCCCGUCACCAACAUCUCAUUCAAAUCAACAAAAACAUGGCCAAGACCAUCAAAAUUAAAGCAUGAUGGUGCUAAACAACCACUAACUAGUCCUUCUGAAUGUAAGCCAAUAAUUGCUUUGCAUAUCUCCAUACCCAUCAUUGCAAAACAGAAUAUCCCAUCUUCUAUAGCUGAAUUCAGCAAACUUUUGUCAUUCCCACCAACAACCUCAUUUUUCAGUUCACUAAUUUUUUCCACAAGGUCACCUUCCCACCGCUCACAUACAAGAUACAUCCAUUGAUCAUCCAAAUCAUACCACAGUCCAUAAACUCCACAGGUUUUGCGCUGUCUCAAAAUCAAACCCAAUUCAUAUCUUUUCUCCUCCUUCAUUCCAUUCAAACAGUUCAUGAUUCGCGCCAUAUAACUAAAACUAAUCACAGAAUCAUUCACAAACGAUAAAGAAGCAAUUCUAACAAGACUCACAUUUUGAUUCUCUUUCAUCCACCACCGAAUAACCGACGGCGAAGAAGAAGAAGAAGAAGCAAUUCUUCCAUGAAUCACAUCACAAAAAUCCUUCCCACCUCUGGGUUCAACCGAAACGGCGUCGUUCGGAAGAACCCAGUCCUUCCAAACGGAAUAAAACUGGUCAGACCACAAGCGAGGUAGAAAUUCAUAGUGACUGGUGAUGGGUCGUUUCUGGGGUUUCUGAUAAUCAGAGUCCUCGCUAAGACAGAGCCUGAGAAGGUCGAUGUUCUUGGGUAGAGCCGAUGGGCCUUGGAGGUGAGAGAACUUGACGAGUUGUGUACAUGCCGGGCAGCGAAUGGUGUCCAAGAAUCGUUGUGGGAGGUGGGUUAUGCAUGCCUCGCAAGCCGUGUGUCCGCAGGCGAGUACGCGAGGGAUUGCUUGAUCGGUGUCGUAGGUUUGGAGGCAGACUGGGCACUCCGGCAGUUGCAGCUCCAUAACUCGAUUCUUCUUCUGCGCAGAAAUGAGACGUCCACGUCGUGAAACGCUGCGUUUUGGUGGAAAACUUUGCGUUUUAGUGUUGUCAGAGGAAACGACGCCGUUUCAAGCUAAAAUAUCGUUUUGGGCAUCUCUUUAAACAGUCUCCCUAUUUCUCAGGGCGCGUUAAGCAAGCAUCUGCGUCUCAUCUUCUUCAGGAUCUCCCCUCUCAUUAAUGGUUUUUUCUUUUUUGUUCUCAAAACCCUAACCCUAAUCCUAGCUAGGCUUGCUUUUAGAUCAAUCUAAAUGUGUCUGGAGUUCUGAAUUUGAUUUGGAAGUUGAAGGUUAGUUAAAUUUGGACCCAUUUGCUUGUUUUUGUGUUGGGAUUGCUCUAUGUAGUCCAUAGUUUCUUUUGAACCAGAUCUAUGAUAUUUGUGAAUUGUGUUCCUUUUUACGUAGUUCAGUGAUAGUUUGACUUUAGUUUAGUAUUCAAUUAUGCAUGCAAGCUACUAGGUGAAAGAACACAUGCAAAUUUCGUGUGGGAUGCGCACAAGCUGUUCGAUGAAAAACCCAACCGUGGAUGCAAAAUCAUGCUGUUUUUAUCUUGAACCUUAUAUUAUUUACGCUAUGUUACAGUGGGUUUGAUAGUGAUUUUAAGAAGUGUUUUUAGCCUUUAUAACACUUGAAAAUUUUCAUUUUAAGUAUUAAAAAUGUUAGAAACACUUCUUAUGAUUAUUGUCAAAUGCACUCUCACUAAUAUCAUUCUUAUUACUAAUAUGAUUAGGGACCAUCUCAAGACAUAAGGUCUUCUUCUUAUAUUUGAUGUGAAAGGACAAGAGUAUCUAUGUGCACAGUUAGAAUCCUUGUUCACACUUGACAGAAAGGACCCAAAAGGCCAAAGCUUCACUUAAAAGGAGAUAUGAAGCUUGCAUAAACCCUCCCAUAAGGACCCAUCCACCAACUUUGAUUGUGAGAAAUGACCAAUUGUUAUCCUGGGCCGUUCCUAGUGAUUUUUCUGUAAAGGAAAAAGAACUAAAAUGACAGUUGAAUGUAUCAUGAGCAGGGCCAUGUUGGUAUUUGUCUACCGUUUUUUACUUCUUGCAACCAACCAUCGCUGUUUAGAUUAUCAAUUUCCUAUGUUUCUGAAUCAACCAUUUUAAGUUGGUACUUCUCCAUCUGGUUGCAAGUAUGGAAGAUCUAUGUAGGAUUGUUGUGAAUUUAUUCCUAAUCAACAUUUCUAUGUCACUAUAUAUGGAACUAGAUAUGUCCUGUGUAGGCCUUAGGGAUGAAUCCCAUUGCUAAUUAAUAGCAUGUCGAGUAGAGUUCAACAGAAAAGCAGUGAUUGUACUUGAAAAACAGAGAAUUCAAUUGCUAAAAUGUCUCACUUUCGGAAAUGAAAGUAGUACCUGUCCGUAUCAUGGCAUAUAAUGGUGUUUUAUGGACAGAAUACUUUGGCAACUAUUGAUGCCUUGUAGCUUAAUAUGACCAUGAUGCAAGGGUUGUAGUUUUCUUUUGUUUGUUUCUGGUUCUUUUUUUUAUUCUUUUUUUUUUUUGGCUUGCUUGUUGUGGAACCAGAGGCAAUGGGCUACACACUGCAAGUAGCAAUCCCUCAUGGCCUAGAUCCCUGUGCAUCAAAUUUCAUUCGUACUAUUUGAGUUACUCAUUCACCGUCCCUUCCUGCUCCAGGCUUUUCUUAAUCAUCAAAUUGGUUGCUGAUAUGCUUAAAAUUCAGAACUUUCAGAAUAAAUGGUCACUGGGAUGGAAUAUUUUGGCCAGAAUGUGCAGUUCUGGUGAAAUAAUAAAGGAGACUGCAGAUCCAACUAAAAGGAUAUGUAAAAUUAUGAUUUCUUGCCCAAAAUUAGAGCUUGAUACUUCCCUUAGUGAAAGUGGGAUCAGGGUAUCACCAAUUGUGGUUGAGAAUGUCCUCAAGAGAUUUGAGAAUGCUGGAAUGCUAGCUUAUCAAUUUUUUGAAUGGGCUGGAAAGCAACGAAAUUACACGCAUAGUAUCAGAGCUUACCAUACCAUGAUAGAGUCUCUGGCUAAGAUAAGGCAGUAUCAAAUCAUGUGGGAUCUUGUAAAUAAAAUGAGGAGCCUGAAGAUACUAAAUGUUGAGACGUUUUGCAUUAUAAUGAGAAAGUACGCGAGGUCUCAGAAGGUGAAAGAGGCAGUUUACACAUUCAACAUCAUGGAAAAAUAUGAUGUUCCUCCAAAUCUGGCAGCAUUUAAUAGUCUUUUAAGUGCUCUGUGCAAGUCCAAGAAUGUUGUAAAGGCUCAGGAGAUCUUCAAUGGUAUGAAAGACCAAUUUAUUCCUGAUUCAAAAACUUAUAGUAUAUUACUUGAGGGGUGGGGAAAGGCUCCAAAUCUGCCCAAGGCGAGAGAAAUUUUCAGAGAAAUGGUUGACAUGGGUUGUGACCCUGAUAUUGUGACCUAUGGUAUCAUGGUUGACAUACUUUGCAAGGCAGGGCGGGUUGAUGAAGCAGUUGGAAUUGUUAAAGAAAUGGAUUCUAGUGUUUGUAAGCCAACAUCUUUUAUUUAUAGUGUUCUGGUUCAUACUUAUGGGAUAGAAAAUCGAAUCGAAGAUGCCGUUUAUACGUUUUUAGAUAUGGAAAGGAAUGAAAUUGAGGCUGAUGUGGCAGUUUAUAAUGCAUUGAUUGGUGCUUUCUGUAAAGUAAACAAACUCAAGAAUGCAUAUAGGGUUUUAAAUGAGAUGGAUUGCAAGGGGAUCAGACCUAAUUCCAGGACCUGCAAUAUUAUCCUAAACAGCUUAAUCAGUUGUGGGGAUACUGAUGAGGCUUUUAGGGUCUUCCGCAGAAUGAUCAAGGUUUGUGAUCCAGAUGCAGACACAUAUACAAUGAUGAUAAAAAUGUUUUGUGAGAAUGAUAAGCUAGAGAUGGCUCUUAAAGUGUGGAAAUACAUGAGGUUGAAGCAGUUUGUUCCUAGCAUGCAUACUUUUUCAGUUCUUAUUAAUGGACUGUGUAAAAAGGGUAAUGCUUCCAAGGCUUGCAUCUUAUUGGAAGAGAUGAUAGAGAAGGGUAUUCGGCCAUCAAGUGUGACAUUUGGGAAGUUAAAACAAUUACUUAUAAAGGAAGGGAGAGAAGAUGUACUUGAAUUUCUUCAAGAGAAAAUGAAUCUCUUGGUCAAGGAGCCUUUAUGUGAUCAAGAAAUUAUUGCUAAUGAGCUGAAUAUACUGAUCAAUGUUGCUGAGUAGUCCGUACCUGCAAUGGAGAAUUCUGGAGUUGAAAGGCCUGGGAACCACCCCUGACUAAUAAGAGUGGCAUUUGGUAAUUACAGGUCAGUGUUUUUAACUUUUUUUCAGGCCACAUUCCGGAUUUUAUUUGAAACUUCAAUUGGGUCAUUUAACUACUUGCUUAUUUUUAAUUUUUUUCAUUUGAACUUGUAUUUAAUGUCCCUUUUUCUCGUAUUUAUACAUAUUUUAUUGUGCUUAUUUAAUGGAGAACUACACUGUUAUACAUCCUUGUACAUCUUUUGGAAAUAAAAUCAUCCUUACUGUCAAAAGAUGUUAGUGAAAGUUGAAAACAGAAUCUUUUGGUGAUCAUUUUUAUGAUUUUUAGUUGAAGAUAAUGCUGUUUGCAUUAGUUGAUUAAUGAGUCUCAAAAUUUUUCUGAGAUUUAUAGCAAAGCUCUUUUUUAAUCUAGGAAACCAUGUAGUUCUUUAGUAUUGAAGGAAUGCAAUCUUGUUUCUAUCAUAAAAUUCUGUGUACAUCGAGGGUUGCAGUAUACACUUAAAGAAUGGAAAAAUAAAAAAUAAAGAAGAAAAAUAUGCAACACAGGCACCUCUGAAGAGCUGAUUUGGGAGGUGGUGGUUCCUACCUACCAGGGUACAUAUUUGAAUAUUUUUCACUUGGAAAAAGCUUUCCAAGCUUUGCAGAUCAAAUUUAUAUCGUACUCAUGCUUGUGCUGGGUCUUGAUCUCUCAUUUGUUAAAAAACUACACUGCAAAGAAGAUCGAAAUGCCUCAUGGCUAAGAGGCCAUGGCCUAUCUGGUAAUCUUGGAAUGUCAAUAUCACCUUCCAGCAUCUUUAGAGCCUCUGCAAUGGUAGGUCUAAAAGCCACCAUUACAUGUGCGCAAAGAAUCCCAACGAGAACAAAUCUCUCCAUGACACCUUUUGGUCCUUCCUUUCUUAUGAAGUUGUCAAAAACCUCUUCCACUUUUCCUGAUUUCACAAGCAUCCAAGCCCAAUCUGUGAUCAAAACCAUGGAAGAACUUGAUGUAUCCAACACCUUCCUCCCACUCAUAGUUUCAAGAAUCACGAUCCCAAAGCUGUAAACAUCGCUUUUUUCUGUUAAUUGUCCAUAGAGAGCAUACUCUGGUGCUAGAUAUCCAUGUGUACCAGCUACCCUUGUGGUGAGAUGAGACUGACCUUCUCUACUUUGCUUGGCUAACCCAAAAUCUGCCACUUUUGCUUUCAUUUCCAAGUCCAAAAGUAUGUUAGUCGUCUUGAUAUCUCGAUGAUAAAUGGCAGGUUUGAUUCCAUCAUGCAAGUAAGCGAGCCCUUUUCCUACAUCAAGAAUUAUAUUCUUUCGCUGAGGCCAAGUUAGUUCCUUCCUGCUAUUGCUAGAGUUGAAAAGAUGAUCACUUAGGUUACCAUUCAACAUGUAAUCACAAACAAGAUAUCGCCUUUUACCUUUACAGUCGUCACUUGUAACGCAGCAACCCCGAAGAGAAAGAAGGUUCCUGUGCCUUAUUUUGCUUAUGAUCUCAACCUCAUUGGAAAAUUCCUCAUCACCUUGAGAAUCCAAAUCAAGAAUUUGUUUCACUGCAACUAAAGUGCCAUCAGAAAGGGUGCCCUUGUGUACAACCCCAUAUGCGCCUUGGCCAAUAAAAUUCUUCUGUGAAAAUCCAUCUGUGGCUCGUUCAAUUUCAGCGAUAUGAUACCAUUUUGCACCAGUGUUGGGUAAAACUCUAGCCUGCAUGCUGCUCACAAAUUCUUCAUGGAAGGCGUUUUUCUUCUUCUUUUGCCAAAUCCUGUACAGCACCACUGAUCCCAAGGCAAACAAAACAACCAGAAAAGCACCCAAGAACCCGAAAAUCAAUUUGAAUAAAGUCUCUUGGCUCAGAUGAUUAGAGGUUUCACCAGUUUUGGAGUUAGACAAAGGCAAGCCUAGUAUGCAAGCAGCAGUCGUGCCAUCCUGAGGGCCUAACUCAUUAACAAUGCCUGCAGCAUACAGAAUAGUGAAGUAAAAGCAUUUAGUGGAAUUUGGAGCAAGAGCCCGCAACUGGGAAUUCACCUUCAUCCCAGCAUCGAGGCAGGAGCCGCACUGGACAAGUCCAGUCAGGUCCUUGCAAGAUGAAUCCAAGGCCGUCUUUUCCCCAACCCUUUUGAUCCAAUCUUCUUUCGUGAUGAUUCCAGCACAGCUCGAGGAAUUAGCAACAAACUGAGUCGAGUUCUUGAAGCAUAGAGAGACUAAAGACGGUUGGAACGCCAUGGCAGAGAGCCUAGUCUGCAAUUCUGAGAGGCAAGAAGAUGAGACAGCAGCAGUGGGGAGCUGAAACAUGGAAGUUUCUUUCAGGUGCUGUGCAAGGCCCAUGCCAAAGAGACUGAGAAGGGCCAUGCAGCAGUGGUCUUGAUCCCCAUCGCGGCACGAAGAGGUGUCCCAUGGGUAGGUCUCGACAUAGCCAAGAUCUAUGGGACAAGAAGAAGAUGCAGAAUCAACUGAGAAGACGAAUAGAGAGAGGGAAACAAUGAAAGAGAUCAAGAAUACGAAGGUGCCCAUGUUUUCCUCUCAAAAUCAUGCAGUGGGGAUAUGUUGUGGAGGCUUUAUACAAAAAGUGAUGGAACCAUCAACAUUGGCUGCUCUGCGAGUCAAAAGGCACGUUUGCAAUAGAGGAGUUGAACCAACUUUAUUCUAAGGUUCCAACGAGAAACACAAAGUGAAGGAAAUUUCGUUGUUUGGCAUGUAUUCAAAGUUUUGCUGCAACAUUUAUCUGAUACAUUUUGGAGGGGUCAAAGUCAAUACAUUUGAAAGUUCAGAAUGGUGCAGUAACCUACUAUCCCACCUAGAGUUGAAGGAGGAACAAAAGUGUGAAAUCCUUUUAAUUACAAAAGGGGCAUGGCAUUGACUCUGGGUCAAUAGGAAAAAAAAUGAUCAUGAUAAUGACAUUCUCCAAACGUAAUAUAAAUACAAUUUGCCACGUUGAUUGAAUUUGAAAGCUAAAGCUAAUAGCAACACGAUUUAUAGCACUGAUUGAAUUUGACUAAAUAAAGGAUAUAUGAGACGUUGGAAUUCAAAAAAUGAGAUGGAGUGUUCAAAGGGGUAGUGAUGAUUUGAAAUAUUUAAAAUAAAGUUAAGAAAUUAGAGAGAUUUUUUUUUUUCCCUUCAAAAAGGGAGGAAAUUGGGAAAUGAUUUACCAAGUUGAAAAUAUUUGAAAAAUUAUAAGUAAAUAUUUGAAAGUGAGAAAUCUUGCAAAAAAGCACGAGUGACCAUACAAAUGUGUUAGACACUAAACAAGGGUAUGGACAUAAGAUAUUGAACAUUGUGCAAAUGUUUUAUAUUAAUAUAACAGGCACGGGAGAAGGAGAUGAAUAUAUAUUUCUCUUAAGUAUGCUAUGGUUAUUUCAUUGAGGGGUAUUUUUGUCCUCAAAAAUAUAAUUAUUUAGAUAAGUAUAAAGUGAAAUCAGAUGGAUACACAUGUAAUUUCACUUUAAUUUAUAAGAAAGAUUAAUUACCAUCAUCUUUUUAUAAUGACUAAAAUAACACUAUUUUCAUACCUAUUUUGAAUUUAAAUAACUAAUGUAACAUAUUUUAUAUCAUUCCAAUCUCAAAAUUAUUAAAAUUAGUCUACUGUUUUCUUGAUUAAUUAUAAUGAAAAAUUACAAAAAAAACAUAAAAAUAUUGAAAAUUAUAUUUCUUUUCGUUGUAAUUAAAGUUCAAUAAAUAUUUUUAUAUUUAUUUGAUUAAUUUUAUUUUAAAAAACUUAAGUCUAAGAAAACUUAAUCUAACUUAUCACACAAAAUUUAUUUUAGGUUAUAUAAAAAGUUUUUUCAUGUUUAAUAGAAUUAUUGUAAUAUUAAUUUUUUGUUUUAAAAAUUAUGAUUAAUUUUUUUUAAAGAUUUAAUGGGUUUAUGGGGCCCAUGAACCACUGAAAAAAAAAAAUCCAUGGUGCAUUCACAAAGGGGGUGGUGGCACAGCUCACCUCAAAUGUUGAAAUAAUAAAAAGUAGAAUCUUUGUAAAUAAUAAAUAUGCAAAUAUUAAAUUUAAUUUUCGAAAUAAUAAUAAUAAUUCAAUAAUUCACAUCAAGGGAUUCUUGAAUUACAAGAAUUAUUAUUUUAAAUUUCAAAACCAACAUAAUUAAAAUUCAGGAUUGUCCCACUUGCCAAGCAAUCAGAGCUUUUAUGAGCUGUGAAAAUGUCAGCAUCCAAAGCAGGGGUUGUGUCAUGUCGGUGGUGCAUCAAACCACAUAUGAAAAAUAUGUAAAAAUGGGAACGCUUUCAUUGUAGAUCCAAACAUUUCCUAAUGACAAAGCUGAUUCAGAGGGGAAAUUGCCGGCAAAUAAUCCACGCCCAACAUUGUUCAUCACCCAAUUCCCUCCGAGUCGUCUUCAUCAUCUGAACCCAAAAGCCCUUCCAUUGACAAAUCCUUUUUUAUUUAUUUUCCCAUCUUGCUCAUACUCAUAUCAUAUCCACCAUGGACGAGUUUGGUCGUUUAACCCAGAGUUUCGGCCUCAAACCACAGGGAAAAUCGGCACCCAUGGCCGCUUUGAAGCGACCCAGCACCACCGGCAAUGACGGAGCCUUCAAUUUUGAUGUCGGAUCGGGGGUGCACAGCAAUGGCGGUUCUGGGGUUUCUCAGAAUUUUGGGGGUUUGGAUGAUUACGAUGAUAUUUUUGGGGGACGCAAUAGGAAUUCAAAUACAUGGGGUGGUGGCGGUGGUGGUGGGUCUUUGCUUGAUCAUGAUUCGGUGUUUGGAAAUUUGAAUAGUUCUGGGGCGAAUCGCGGUGGUUCUAAUUAUGAUGGAGAUUUUUUUGGAGGGAUUUCCGAGGUGAAGAGCUCGGGGACGGUGAAUUAUAAUGAUGUAUUUGGGUUUACGGAUUCCGGGUCCAAGCAGAGUGAUCAGUUUGAUGAUUUUCUUGGGAAUUCGGGCGGUGUGGAGAAGAAUGCGCCUCGGGGUUUUGAUGAUUUGAUACCAGGGUUUGGUGGGAGCGGCGCUGCCAAGAAAGGGUAUGUGUUCCAUUGUUGGUUUUACCGAUUGGAGGUCAAAUGCAGUUUUAAAUGAAUCUAUUGAGGAAUCUAAGAUGUUGGAAGGCUUAGGUAAUGUUUAUGAAAUUUGGGGAAUGUCUUUGAAAGAUGCCGCUGCUUGAAUGAUUUAAACACUAUAUAUUGGAAACUUGUCUGAUAGGAGUUUUUGGGAAGAGUUCUUGUAGAGAUUUGGGACAUUUGAUUAGAUUUGGAUUGACUAAAGUAAAAUGCAACAAUUUCUUUUUCUGCAAAAUUAGCAGAGAUUUGGAAAACCUUGGUGGUGAUAGUUUUUUUACUUAAUUCUAAAUAGAACCUUAAUGUUUAAUGGUGUUAAAUAUCUUGUUUUGUAGUAUUUUAAUUAUAUUAAGUAUUAAAAAGUAAAGAAAAACCAAUAUGUUAUUUUUUCUAUUUAGAAAAUAUCACGUAGUUUGGCUUUUUCUAUUUAGUAAAAAAUUUAUAAUAAGUUAUGAAAAAGUAGAAAAACAAAUAAACUAAAUUCUGAAAACAAAUUAUUUUAGUAAAAAGUCAAAAACAAACAGCACCUUAGUCUGAUUUGGUUCCAGGUAGGUCAAAAUUUGCCGGAUGUUAUAUUCUCGAGACCAUAGUAACCAAGCAGUCACAAGAAGGGAUUUUUCAUAGUCAUUUUACAUUUAUACUUAACUUGGUUAUGUAAUUAUAAUUUGGUGAUGUUGGUGACUCUGAAUUCCUUUAGUUCUCUUACUCUGGGACUGGAAGGAAUAAAUCAAUCCAGUUUACUAAUAUACAUAACUCGAAAAGCAGUACUUCCAGUUAUCAAGAGCUGGCUGCACCAAUCUUAUUUUGCCAUUCUGCUGCUUGAAGGUCAUUGUUGUGUUGUUCAUAGUCAAUUUAUCCUCUCUCUACCGCAAUCAGCUUCUGGUUCUUUUUUUUUUUCAUCUCUCUUUUCCUUGCUGCACGGUUAGCCUGGAACUUGAUUCUUCUCAUUGGUGCAGUCAUUGUUCUUUGUUUUGUGUGGUCAAACCAUCUUAAUUGUCUUUCUCUCAUCUUGUUCCUACCUUUUGUUAUCAGGCUAACACCCUCCAUCAUUACAUGUGGCCUCAUACCCACAUGUAUAAGGGGAAAUUAGCAAUUAUGGAUUACAAAUAAAUAGAUAGGGGAAACAGUAGGAAAGACUCAAACUCAGACCUCUAGUUAACCAUAACUUUGAUACCAUGCUGAACUACCAAUUUUCCUAAAAGUUUAAACUGUUAGGUCAUGGACUCACAAUGUUUUUUUUUUUUGGAUAGGGUCAUGGACCCACAAUGUAUACCAGGCUGACAAAUAUGUUGGUUAUUGGCUUCCCAACAUUCAAGUUUGUAAAGCAUGGCUGAUUUCGUAGUUGAGUUUCCCUUCAAAUUGCUUGUUCAACUGCAUUUGGGAAUCUUGUUUCUGCUGUUGGGAAUUUAUGUAUGGAGUUAGGAGCACUGAAUAUGUAAAUCAGGAAGUCAAAACUUAUACAUGAAUAAAUAAUUCAAUCAUGUGGUAAAUUAGUAAUAAUAAUUAGAUAUUGUUUGAUUACUUUAUUGUUUAGAUUUCAGAAACAUGCAAGAUGUUUACCUUGUGUCCACAUGCAUUUGCAGUUGCUGGCACAACUAUGAAGAGUCCCGGGUUAGGCAAGGAUGAAUUGAGAUUUAUUUAUUGCAUUUAGCAUUUGGUAGAGAAACCUAUGCUGUAAGGUAGAGCUGGCUAUGUGUCAGUCUAAGUAUGUUCAGGCUGGGUCCUUAAUUGUCUAAGUUCAAUACCAUUUUUCUAUGACCAGAUCAGAAAAGUCUAGCCUCAUCCAUUCUAUCCUAUUUAUUAAUGGGCAAUCCAAAACGAACUUGCCAAUUUAUUAUGAGUAAUGACUGUGAACUUGGAAACUAUAUACAGGUUUUUUAAGUAUAAAUGCAAUGGAACAUAGUGAAAUAGGGUGGAAAAAAGAGUUGAGUGAAGGAAUAAAAAAUACAGGGAAUAUCGAAUGAUAUAAUUGUGUGUUGGAACAGAUUAACCCUUGUUCACCAUCAAUGUUUGAUGGGAAUUAGAUGCUAUGGUUUUCAUUCCAUUUUCAAUUCAAUGUAUUCUGCUAUUUAAUCUGCAAAAUUUAUGUCAUUCACCUCAUCAUCAUCUUAUUUGCACAGAAUGAAUUCAGAGACAAAUAAGCUUAAUCAAUCAGCAGUUGGUUCAACUAAAUCCACAUCCACAUUGGCUGAAGAUCCCUUUGUACUAUUUGAAUCAACUUCAACCCCUGCAGAUACUUCCUCACCAGUGUUUUCAGAUCCACUGGAAGAAAUGAGUAAAAUCAGUAAUUCAAGAAAGGGUUCAUCAUUUAGUAGCGGAGCAUUUGAUGAUAUGGAUCUCCUUAAUGGCUUCGCAAAAUCAAUGCCAACAAUGUCAUCUAAUAAAAGUUACAGUGGUCAGAAUGGAAGUUCACUAAUAGAUGAACCUGCAGAGCAACAAAGUGAUCUGGAAUUUUUUUUCUGUAAGGUUGCUCCCCCAAGCAGUGUGCCAAGGCGUGAGGCUACUAGUGCGGUGAGAACUAUAGUUAUGACAAGUGUAGACAUUUUUUAAGUUAUUUGCAACAACUGAUAUAUUAUGUUUUUUGCUUCCUGACAUAUGUUUCAACACCCUGUUUUUGAUACAUAGUUCCAUGACAGAGGAGUCCCUGAAAUGGUGAGAAAAACAUUUUCUGGGACCUCAACCACUGUGGAUACUGUGGAUAAGGCCUUUUCUGGGACCUCAAACAGUGUAGAUAAGGUUUCUUCUGCUACAAAUGUUUUUGAUGACUUCUGGAAUUUUGGAGGUAACUUGGCUGUUAAAAGCAAUUUUCAUUUAUAGACUGCCAAGGUCUGGGGCUUUUUCUCUCUAUGCUAAUUGCUUCAAUCAUUCUUCCUCCCCCCAUCCCCCCAAAAAAAAGCUGCCCCUUCACCAGGAGAAUUUCAGGAAGUUGAAGGGGAAAGUGAAGAAAGACGAAGAGCAAGAUUCCAAAGUCACCAAAGGACCCAGGAGAGAAUGGUGUGUGUUUUCCUCUCUUUUUUCAUUUAACUAUUCUUUGUUGUCCCCAAUUUAGUUUUUUCCUUAAAAAGUUUGAACCUUUUCUUUCCAAGGAUGCACCAGCAUAUGCAGAUAAGCACACCAAAUUAAAGUCCAUUUGUUGUUUAGAGACUCAAUGGAUUGCAUGCAAUCAUAUUAUGCAGCUUAUAACCAAAUCCAUAUCUCAAAUGCUCCCAACCAACUGCAGCCUCAUUUAAUGCUCACUUUUCUUUUCUUUUUUUGUAUUUACUUUAUAUGGUUUUGAACUUUUUCUCUUUCUAUAUGGUCAGGCUAAAGCACUGGCUGAAAAAAAUCGAUAUGACCUUCAAACUCAGCAGGAGCAAGAAGAGAGACAUGUAAGCAUUUGCAGUGUUAUAAGGAUUAGUUAGACUCUGGUUCUCCAAUCAUCUGUCUUCUCUUUAAUUUAAAGUUCCUUUUUGUUGCUCUUUUAAACUUAUUUUGUGCAGAGAAUUGCUGAAAGUCUAGACACAAAGAUAAAGCAUUGGGCUGCAGGGAAGGAGGGCAAUUUGCGAGCACUUUUAUCAUCAUUGCAAUAUGUGCGUUCUAUUUUUUUUCUUCGCAUUUUAUCUGACUAUUUUUAGGGCACAGGAAAUUAUCCAGUUUUGGUAUUUUUCUUUAAUUUGUUUCUCUUUGCAUCUUAUUUAGUUGUUUUUGUAACCGAGGAUGGUGUAGGAACUAGAUUGUAUGAUAAAGAAGCAAGAUAUUAGGUUUGGUUGAUGGACAUGGAUUCAAAUAAGCUACGUUUUCGUACUUUCAUGUUUGUAUUUCAAAUGAGGUUGCUAAAAAUUCUGGGACAGCAUAGUUACCUUCAACACUCAGGCUAGGUUUUUUUGUUUCUUUAAGGGCAUGUGGGCGGGCCAGGACGCGACAUGGUUCGUUGGGAAAGGAAUGAAGGGGGAAGUUGCUGUGUAGGUGGGUCUGGUGGUAGGGGGCAUUUGUGGUUUGUGUGGGCAUAUUUUGCAUGUGUCUGGUUGUAAUGUCAACAAUUUUGGGUAUUCUGGUUACCUUUGCCCCAAAUGUCUCUUGGUUGGGCAGCUAGGCUCGCAUAGUUUUGUGUGUAUUGGGAUCAGUUUACUCUAUGUAUAUGCAAGAAAUCCUUUUUCUCCCAGUAUUAGUCUGAUUGCUCUACACCCCCCACCCCCCCACCCCCCCCCCCCCCCCAUGAUUUAUAAAGAAAACAAGGGGGAAAAAUGGGGGCCCCCCCUUUUUUUUUUUUUUCCCUUUUCAUUUUAAAAGGCCCACCCAAAAUUGUGGGAAAAUUUUUUUAUGGAAAGAAUAUAUUAAAACCCCCCCCCCCCCNNNNNNNNNNNNNNNNNNNNNNNNNNNNNNNNNNNNNNNNNNNNNNNNNNNNNNNNNNNNNNNNNNNNNNNNNNNNNNNNNNNNNNNNNNNNNNNNNNNNGGGUUGAAAAGCCAACAAUUUGGGGUAUUCGGGUUCCCUUUCCCCCAAAGUUCCUUGGGUGGGGCACCUAGGCCCCAAAAUUUUGGGGUGUAUGGGAACCAUUUUACCCUAGGUAUACCCAAAAAACCCUUUUUCCCCCAGUAUUAUUCUGAUUGCUCUACCCCCCCCACCCCCCCCCCCCCCCCCCCCCCCCCCCCCCCAUGCACAACCACACGUGCAAAUUGUAUUCCUCUUUUUAUUUCUUUUUCCUUUUCUUUUAUAUGUACCUCCAUAUUGUUGAAAUUUUUUAUGUAUAAGAUUAUGUCUAGGCUUACCCACACUUUUUCUGUAAUACUAAAAUGUUUUAUUAGGUGAGUAGGCUCUCACAAAUGCAUAAAACACUAGUUGGGCCCAUCUUCUGCGUCUGUUGACAAUUUUUUUAAAGAAGAUAUCUUAUUUCUUGUAUUUACAACGUACACUUGCCUUUUUAUGCUUAAAUCUCAUAGAACCUUUUGUAUACCCACAAAUUCAGAGUCAAAUGUGUAAAUCUGCAUUUCUUUGUCUUGUGACUCAUCAUGUAGUAAAUGGUUUUUUUCAUUUACAGAAAAAUAUAUAUAUAUAUAUAUAUAUAUAUAUAUAAACUGCCUUAUUGGAUUUAUAUUUUUUCAUAUGACAUUUUACAAGGAAUUUAUCUUGCUAAUAUUUAGUUUUUAAAAGGUAUUUGACACAAUCUUCUGCAUAUAGACAGUCACAUAUGCUACCAUUAUAUUUUACAUGAUUGGACUACUUUCAAUACUUUAAUUUUAUUAUUUAACAUUCUUUUUGCUCUGAAGAAGUGUUAGUCAUCCUUUUAUGCCCCUUAUAUUUGGACUAGGAUAGGUCUUGUUUUAUACUUUAAAUCACUUCCAAACUAUUGGCCAUUUCCAUUAUAUCUCUAAAAUAUUUCCAUUUCCUUACUGACAUAACACAAACAAAUCUUUAAUACUUUAUGUUUCACAAAUUAUAUCAUGUAUGCUGUCGCAAAAUAAGAAACUUAGGACCUUGGUUCCUGAUCAAGUGGUGAGGGGUUGGGGUGGGAAUUUAGGGGGUUUACAAAUUCAAUUCCAUGUAACGGUAGCCAGAAAAACAGGAAAAAAAAAAUUAUAGGAGUUACAAGGGUUUGGAUAGUAGGAGCCAUAAAAACAACAAUUCAAAAUAAAGAGAGGAGGAAGAGGCCCUUGGUUCUUGCAUCAAGUGGUGAAGCCUUGGGGAGGGGCAGGGGUGCAGGCAUAAGAUUAAUCAAAUAACAUGCAGGUAAGACAGCUUCUUACCAGUAGUAGGUACCUUCAUCUCGGUGAGAAGAGCACGGCUCCAAAAGGUGCCGAUUUUUUCCGCUCAGCUACUCCAUUCUUUUUUUGGGUGGGGGGGUGAAUGGGAUGAUAUAGGGGGUUUCCAAUUUGAAUUCAAUGUAUAAAUCAAAAGGAUUCUAGAGGGAGAGGCCACCCUGAAGCAGGGUAUAGCUCAUUUAGUGUGGAUAGUUUAGUACUGUGAGCUAGACAACAAAAGGAAGCCCCUUUACUGUAGAAUUAUGAGAAAUUAUUAGAAGCUGAUUUGCUAACUUCAUUUUUUGUUACAAAAUUGUUAGAAGUGUACAUUGGAACUCCUAGAAUUUCAGAGGAGAAUGAAGUGAUACUCCUACAUUGCAUACACAGUUUAUUUUUGUACUUCUUUCCUUCUAUUAUGUUAUCCACUCUGCCAUCUGGAGUAAUUUUUGCACUGAAAUCUUCUUAAUUUGUACGCAUAUCACAUGAAUCUUCUAUUGGACAUGACAAACAAAUCCCCUUUAUAUGUGGAAUGAUGAACAGGUGCUCGGGCCUGAAUGUGGUUGGCAACCAGUUUCAUUGACUGAUUUGAUUACCUCAGACUCGGUCCGAAAAGUUUACAGAAAGGCCACCUUAUGCAUUCAUCCUGAUAAGAUUCAACAGAAAGGUGCUAGCGUUCAGCAGAAGUAUAUUGCAGAGAAGGUUUUUGAUGUUCUGAAGGUAUGAUGUACCAGUAUUCCAACUAUUUCCACAAAAAAACUCACUUGAAUAUAACCUUACCUGAACCGGGGUGAGAAUGGUAUUAAAUAUAUUAUAGAAUUUUGUUUGUUGAAUGAGUGAGAUGUAUUUUGAUACUAAAACAGGAAGCUUGGAACAAGUGCAAGACAGAGGAAGGCCUAUAAAUAGCUUGGAUGAUUAUUACUAUGCAAGAACUUUUGAGCUGCUUCUUCAACAAUUGCACAAGGAGGUCCGUCCCUCUUUGGGAGGGUGGUAAAGGAGCAAUGGAGCUUUUGUUGGUCAAUGAUGCUGUGAAUCGCCGGAAAAGAAGAUUGACUCCAGGAAACAUGGAUUUAUAGGAGGAUCUGUUCGUUUAUGUUGGAACUUCUACUUAAAAUGUAAAAUGGAGAUAUCGAAGGAUGACUCUGACUUUCCCUCACACACACACACACACAUGGAAAUUCAAUCAGACGUUGCUUGGAUGGGUAUUGGUAUUUAUUUAUUUAUUUAUUUAUUUUUAUUACUUGUGUAAUCUGUUAACUGAGCAAAAAAUUUCCUUCACACCAUAUUUGGAACGAGAUUGCUUUUAUCCACCUUGUUUCUGCCCACUUUUGAUUAAUUUUCCUAUUAUGCCUCUCGCCUAGUAUACGUAACCACUUGCCAUCUUAGCAGCUUUAUCGAACUAAUGACGUAUAUGUGGUUUGAUGAAGGUAACAUAAUGUAAUGGAUAUCACAAAUUUCCUGAUGGUGUUUAUGGCAAUAUUACUUUUUAUAUUCUUAAUUAAUACAAGGUAUAACACAAAAUGUAAAAUUCAGAUAAAAUUAUAUUUUAAUAUUUUCAUAUUGUUGUAAAACAAAGUGGGAGAAGAAGGAAGUAAGAAAAAGAUAAUAGAAUGCAUGGAAAAACUCUAUUGAAUUUCAUUAGGGGUCCUUUCAUUUUAUAGGGGGUUAUACAAGAUAUUUAUGGAUGAUCAUCCACAAGUUACAAUAGUGGUACAAAAUCUCAUAUUUUAUAACACUUCCCCUUGGAUGAUAUAUGUCUCAUUAAAACCUUACUAGAAAAAACCCUAUGAGAAAAAAAACCUAGUUAAGGAAAAAUGGUGUAAUAUUCUUUUGGAUUACUACAACUACCUCAUUAAAAACCUUGCCAACAAAACUCAAUGGGAUAAAACAUAGACGAAGGAAAAAAAAAAAAAAUGCAACAUAGUGAUAUUCUUAUUAAUCAGCUCCCCCUCAUGUAGACAUGAUUAUAUUUUCUCUAGUAGCACAACAUGGAGAUCUUUGAGUCCACGUAUUCCAAUGAGCUUCUUGAGUAUUGCAGUUGACAAUACCUUUGUGAAUAGAUCUACUAAAUUGCUACUUGAUCUUAUUCGUCGAAUAGCAAUUUCAUCACUCUUUUGAAGUUAAUGAAAGUAAAAGACUUUGACAAUAUUUGUUUAAUUCUAUUACCCUUAAUGUAUCAUUCUUUAAUAUGUGUAAUACAUGCAAUAUUAUCUUCAAAUAAUAUUGUUGGGUCACCUUUGAUAGAGGAGAGUCCACAUGAUUCCCGAAUAUGUUGGAUCAUAGAUCUUAGUUAUAUACGUUUAUGACUUGUUUCAUGAAUUGCUAAUAUUUCUGAAUAAUUUGAUAAUGUGAUCACCAAUGUUUGUUUGACAGAUUUCUAUGAAAUAGCAGUACCAUUGUAAUUAAACACAUAUCCUGUUUGUGACCUACCUUUAUGUAGAUCUGAAAGAUAUCCUGCAUCUACCCAAUCAAUUGCGAUUUUAAUUCUUUUGAAUAAUAUAAGCCCAUAUCACUUGUUCCACAAAUGUGUCACAAUAUAUGUUUAAUCUCAUUCCAAUGCCUUUUAGUUGGGGCAAAAUUGUAUCUUGCUAGCAAGUUGACAGAGAAUGCUAUGUUUGGUUUAAUACAAUUUGCAAGAUAUUUUAGUGCACCAAUUGCACUGAGAUAUGGUACUUAUAGACCAAACAAUUCUUCAUUUUCUUUUUUAGGAUGAAAUGGGUCUUUGUUCACUUCAAGUGAACAAACAACUAUGUUGGAAUUGACUGGAUAUGAUUUGUCCAUAUAAAAUUGUUUUAAUAAUUUCUCUUUGUAUGUCGAUUGAUAGACUAAUAUGCCAUUUGAACAAUGCUCGAUCUGCAGGCCGAGACAAUAUCUUGUUUUCCAGGAUCUUUCGUUUCAAAUUUGCUUUUCAAAUAGUUAACUAUUUUUGUAAGCUCUUCAAGAGUUCCAACAAAAUUCAAUGUUCUACAUAUACUUUAAUAAUUGCAAAUAUUCAACAUAAUGAAUAUGCAUAGACAAAUAAGGUAAUACAUACAUACUUCUCACUUCAAAUAUUAAAGUGAUUGUAUCACAUGUCUUUGGAUUGUUUAAUCAAAACAAGGAUCUUUAUAGCUUAAUUGAGUAUAUGCUAUAAUAUUUUGAGUUAGUUGCUUCAAGCAUUUGAAAUCCUUCAGGGAUUUUCAUAUAUGUAUGUCAUUAUCUAAAGAUCCAUGUAAAUAUGCAAUAAUGACAUCCAUGAGACGCAAAUUCAAUCCUUCUAAGAUUGUUAAACAAAUUAGAUAUCUAAAUAUGAUUGAGUUCAUCAUAAGAAAAUAUGUUUCCUCGUAGUUAAUACUAGGUUUCUGUGAGACACCUUGAGCUAUGAGUCACGUUUUAUAUCUCAUGGUUUCAUUUAUAUCCAACAAGUUUGACAACUUCAGGUGUCUGGAUUAUAGGUCCAAAUACUUCUCAUUUUUCUAAUGAGCCUAAUUUCAUUUAUUUAUUUCUAAUGUGAUGUAUUCUUUCCAUUUUGGCCAAUUUUUUCUAUGUUGACAUUCUUUUAUAAUUUCUACUUUGGGAUCCUCAUCAUUUCUUAUGAUGCCAAUAGUCACUUGGAAAGAAAAUAUAUUAUCAAUGAUAAGAGUAUUUCAAUCCCAUUUUUCUAUAUAUAUAUAUAUAUAAGUAAAUAAUUGAGAUCUCAUCAAUAUCAGGUACUUGUACCUUUUCAAGAGCUAAUUGUAAAACAUAUGCCUCUCAUAAGGCUACUUGUUUAAAUUGUGUCUCUUCAGGGGUUGCUUGAGACUGAUCAGUCAUUUUAAUAAAUUACUUUAUAUAGAACUUCUUCAAGAGUGCCACAUUUCCUAUAUCUUUCUUUGUGUUUUCAUCUUUUAGGGAAUGUGUUUGCUUUUUCAGGGUCUACCACUCUUUAAGUGUGCCUUAGAUUUAUUAUUUAAUUAUCCUCAGGGACAUCAAUUCAUUAUUUAAUUGUCCUUUAGGGACGUUAAUUCGUACUGGAAUAUUCUAAGUCAGCGAAGAUAAUUUUUGUCAUUUUCUUUGCAUCAAUGAAAGCAUUUGGUAGUUGAUUUGCAAGUUCUUACAAAUAAAUAAUCUUUUGAACUUCCAAUUCACAGUGAUUAGUAUGAGGAUCAAGAUACGUCAAAGUAAAUGCAUUCUAAAUAAUUUCACACCGUUCUUCUAGAACUGGCUCUUCUCUCCCUAACGGCAAGAAAAUUGUCUCGUUAAAAUGAUAAUCUGCACAACAUGUCAUUUUACUUUUUAAGUGUAUAGGUAGACUAGUCAAUAAACACUUCUAGUUUAUACUGUACAUCCAUAUGACCUUUUACCCCGGGGGACUAAGUUGCUCUUACAAGAUUCUUCUGGAUCUAGUAUCGUAUAAAGUUUCAUUCACAUGGAAUCAAAUACUACUAGUGACAUAGUAUAAGCUCUUCUAGAGUCUUUAAUAAGGUUUUUAUCACCUGAUAUAUUAUUAACAUUGUCUGCCAUCAAUGUUAUGCAAUUAAUGAGACAAGAGUUUCAUCAAAAUAACAAGUCAUAAAACAUUGUUAUAAAAACCUCACCUUUAUAAAGUUGAAGAAAUAUUAUCAUAGAGAAAAAGUUAAAAUCAAUGGAAAAAUAUUAGUCAUUGAUGAUGACUUAAUAAGUUGUAUAAAAACAAUGGGAGCAUAUAUAACACAAUAAAACAAAUAUGAAAAGAUAAAUUAAAGUUAUAUAUUUCUUAAAUAAUCUCACACAUUUGAUUUUGUAAGUGUGAAACAAUUUAUACAUGAAAUAACGAGGAAGUCUUUCAAUAAUCAAACUAAUUAUAGUGAUAGAUCAAUAAUUUUAUUCAAAAUAUUAUUAUGAUCUAAAUCAAUGUGCAAAAAUUAAUUCAUAAAUCAAAAUUUUAAGAGAACAUAUCAUGAUUUAAAGCAUCUUGUUGUCUCAAAACUCUAAUUGAAAUACUACAACUCCAUCUAAAUAUAUAUGUAAAGAUAUAACAUAAUAUAUUGAUAACAAUAGUUAAACCUAUUGUAAUUUCAAAAUUAUUUUUGGAUAAUGAAAUUAUUACAUUAAUAAAAAUACCAUAUGUGACAACAUGCAAUGAUAUAUAUUAUUUUAUAUAACUCAAAAUUUUUCAAUCAUAAAAACAUGUCUUAAAGAAAAUUGACAUGCAAAAUCAAUUUAUUAAUCAUAUGACCAAGUCAUAUAUUUCACAUGUAUCCAAAAAAUGUCAUUUUUCUAAAUCAAAAAAUUAUUGUGUAUUAAACAACUAGAAUAAAAUAUAUAUAUUUCAAACAAUCACCUUUAAUGCAAAAAUAUCAUAUUUUCAUGCAAUCCAAAAUUUCACAUCUAUAUGUAAAUUUUUCCACUAAUGACAGUAUAACUUUUAAUAAUAGAAAUUUAUAAAAACUAUCAAAUACUUACCUAUUUGUAUAACUUGAUAUACAAAAUAUUAAUAUUUUGAUAAUAUGUAAAUAUUAUCUAUAUGCUUGUUAUCAUAGCUUCAGGUUAUAAUAUAUUUUAUUAUAACUUUUGAUUACAUAAAUUUCAUAAAAUUAUACAAAAUUGUUAAUUAACAAUUUUGUUCUCUAUAACUUCUAGUUAUAAGAAAAAUUAUUAUAUAACUUCUGAUUAUACACACACACACAUAUAUAUAUAUAUAUAUAUUCAUAUAACCAGACUAUACAAGUUUUAACAAUUAUUAAUUUACUAACUUUUUCUUCAUAACUUCAUACUAUGAAUAAUUAAAAUUUAAGUAAUAUUAUAAUAACAUUAAACAAUUGGCAAUUAUGUUAUGAUAUAACUUCUGGUUAUAUAAAAAAAUAAAAAAUAAAAAUUAUGUAUCUUCUAGGUACAUAGUUGUUUAUUGACAAUUUUGUAUUAUAUAACUAGAAGUUAUACAAGAGAAUUAAAAAUUGAAUGCAUAGCUUCUGGUUAUGAAACAAUUGUUAAUAAAAAUUGUUUUCCAUAAUUCCCGUUGUAGAAAAUAAGUGAAUAUGAAAUAAAAAUUAAAAGUCAAUAUUUUUCAUAACUUUGAGUUAUGAUUAUUUUGUCAAAACAAGAAAAUAUGCAGUACGUAGUUUCAGACUAUGAACUAUUUUUUUAUGUAAAUGUAUGCAUAACUUCAAGUUAUGAAUUAUUUAUGUAUAACUUCCAAUUACAUAAUAUAAUUAAAAAAAAUUAAAGAAAUUGAAAAAUAACAUCUUUCAUAACUUCAGGCUAUAAUUAUUUUGUUAGAACAAGAAAAUAUUUAAAUUUGUACAUAGUUUUAGGCUAUGAACUAUUUUUUUUUUAAUGUAAAUUUGUGCAUAACCUCGAGUUAUGAACUAUUCAUUGUGUAGAUUUGUGUAUAGUUUUAAGGUAUGAACUAUUCAUUUUAUAGUUUCUGACUAUAUAAUAUUAUUUUGUAUAACUUUCGGUUAUGCUAUAUAAUUAAAAACAAAUAAUUAUGAGUUAUAUAUAUAGUUUCUGACUAUAUAUUUUGUUGUAAAACAAAGUGAGAGAAGAAAAAAGGCAAGAUAGAGAGAAUAUAAUACAUGAAAAAACUCUAUUAAAUUUCAUUAGGUGCUUACAUUUUAGGGAGAAUUGGGCUUUAGACCCAUUUGGUUUUGAUAAUUAAUAAAGAGUCCAUCAAACACUCAUAAUUGAUUACAAGGAUAUGAGAUGGGAAUAGACAAAAAUACCCCAUUGACUCAUUUUUGUCUUUAUUCUACCCCAUUCACAUGCCACUAUUCUUUCUUAUUUAACCAUUUUUAGAUUUUUCAUUAUUUUUUUAAGCUCUUUUAUAAAUAUUGAAAAAUCAACAUUAUUUUUUUAUUUUUAAAUUAUAAAUAAACAAAAUUUAUAUUAAUGAUUCAAAGACUAUUUUGGAAAAUACUUUCUAAAAAAAUAUUAAUUUAAAUAAAUAAAAAUUACAUUUUACAUUUAUUUUAUCUUUUAUAUUUUAGAAGUAAAUAAUUUAAUGAUUAAAAUACUAUUUAAAAUAAAUAUAUUCACUAUUUUAUUUUUUUAUAUUAAAAAGUAUUUUAAAGAUUUUUUUAUUAUUAUAAAAUAAAAAGUUUAAUUUUUUUUAAUCUUCUUUCUUCCUUAUUUUAAUAACUUUUUGAACAUGACUUUUAAUAAUAAGUUAUAUGAAAUGUUACAAAUUUGUUUAUUAAGGAUUUAUUUUAAUGAUUUGAAUUAAUUGAAAAUUUAUUAAAAUAAGAAAAAGAAAAAGAAAGAAAAAGGAUGGAUGAAAAGUUUUUAUUUUAAGUACUUAAUUAAAAUGUUUUCAUAUGACCUAAUUUUAGAAGUGGAUUAUAUCAAUACAUAAUAGAGAUUGAAUUUUUCUUAUAUAAAAUGGUUGAAAGGUAUAUUUACUUAUUUUAGAUGAAAACAAGUAGUUAAAAGUUAUAUAGAUUAUAUUUGAGUUUGGUUUUAAAAUAUUUUUCUAGUUUUUAUUUUUUAUUUUUAAAAAUAAUUUUUAUUUUCUAUAUUGUCUUUUUUUGAAAAUAUUUUUAAUUAAAAAAUGAAAAGUAUUUUUUUUAAAUGAAAAUUGAAAACCUUGUUUAGUACUAUUUUUUUAUAUGAAAAUAAAAAAAUAAUAAAUUUUAUUUAUUCAUUUAUUGCAUCACUGUACAAUUGUAUUACACUAACUGUACAAGGGAAAUGUACUAAAUGUACAAAGGUGUACAAGGCUACCAUUUAUGAAAUAUUAUAAUCGAUUAUGAGUCAUUCCUUAUUCUUUUUAUCACUCACAAAUUGUACACAUAUGUCAUGUACUUUAUUUAAUUCCUGCAUGGAAAUUCCAAUAUUUUUCCUAAUAAUAAUAUUUGGAGAAAAAAAUUUUUGACCUUAAAUCAUCUACCAUCUUCUCAACUAAAUCAUUGGAAAUAUAGUUAAACACUCCUACGUGGAUACAUAACUUAGAAGGGAUAUAAAAUUUGUGUCAUUGUACAAGGGUAUUACACUAACGGGAAAUGUACUAAUUGUACAAAGGUGUACAAGAUUACCCUUUGUGAAUUAUUUUAAUCAAUUCUAAACCACUUUUUUAUUUUCCUUGUCACCCAAGGAUUGUAUGUCUAUGUCAUGCAUUUUAUUUAACUCUCACAUGAAAAUUCUAAUAUUUUCCCUAAUAAUGAUAUUUGGGGAAAAAAAAGUUGAUCCUAAGUCAUCCAUUAUUUUCUUAACCAAACAAUUGAAAAUAUUAUUAAUACACCUACAUGAACAUAUAACUUAUGAGAAAUAUGAAAUUUGUGUCAUUAUACAAGGGUAUUACACUAAUUGUACAAGGGAAAUGUGCUAAGUGUACAAGGGUGUAUAAGACUCCUAAUAGGUUUUGUACAAUUUUUAAUUAACUUGAAUUUGACAUUAAGACGAUUAUUGAUAGUUUUUUUUUUUUCUUUUUUUACCAAACUAUGUCAUUAAGACAUUCCCUACAAAAAUUAACAUAUAGGAAAUAAAAUUAAAAUCAAUCAUGCUAGAAUUGUUCAUUAUAAGUAAACUAAAUGAAAUAUAUAUUUUUACUAUUUUGCCUUUAUAAACAUAAUUUCAUUGUUAUCAAUAAAGAUUAAAAAAAUCAUAUUUAAAUGGAAUUAUAAAUAAAUAAAAAUUAUUUUUAUAACAUUUUUAUUUUUUUAAAUCAUUAAUUUAAAUUAUGAAAUUAGUUUUAAAAUUAAAAAUAUUUUUUGUAAUUAUAGUUUUGAAGAUUUCAUGAUUUUUAUCAUAUUACUUUGAAAAAAUUGCUUUAAUAAGAAAGUAUUUAUUUAAUGGUUUUAAAUAUUUAAAUUUUUAUUCAAAAAUAUUUAGGAUUAGUGUGGAGAGCAAUUAGGUAAUUUUGGAAUGGAAAAAUUUUGAAUAUUUUUGAAGACUUUAAUUCGGCCAAUUACCCUAUUUACACUUUCAAAAUUAUUGGAAGGUUGGUAAAUUAGUCUUAAAAAUAUUGUCUUCUUGAUUAAUAUUAUAUAUAUGCAUGUAAGUGUUUACAUAAUUUUUGAAAAAAUAAUAAACACCAUGUGUCUAAUUUGCAAGUUAGAAAAAAAAAUAAUAAUAUUUUAUGAGAUAUUUAAAAAGUAUUUAUUAUAUGUUCUAUAAAUUUAAAAAAAAUAUAAUAUUUGAUGAUAUCUAAUUUACAAGUUGGAGUAAACAAAUAAUACAAAUAUUUUAUGAGGUGUUUAAAAAUUAUUUAAUAUAUAUGAGAAAUAAUAUAAGUUUAAAAUAAAGAAUGAUAUUUACUAUAUAUUAUGUAAGUUUUCAAAAUAUUUAAAAAAUAUUUAUUAUAUAUUAUGUAAGUUUGAAAAAAUAAUAAUAUUUGAUGAGGUAUUAAAAGUUAUUCACUUCAAAAAUAUAUUUGAUAAUAAUAAUUUUUAAUCAUCUUUCAUAUUUGAGGAAGAAAAAUAAUUCAAGUUUGUUCAACUAUUAAACGGGUGAGAGAAGGACAAAAGAGUCAAAUAGAGAAUGAGAAAGGUGAGGUGAGUGGUUACUUUUUUUAUUUAAUAGUCAAGGGUGUUUUAGGGAUUUUUUAAAGACAAUAUCCUUAUUCUCAAUUUUUACUCUUUCAUUGAGUGUUGGGCUUAAAUAUGAAACUUAUAUGAACUAUACAUUAAUUUUUGGGCCCAGCUGGGCCAAAACACAAUUUUUCCUACAUUUUAUAAAGAGUUAUAAUUUUAUAAGGAGUUACACUUUUAUAAGGAGUUAAGGAGUUAUACGAGAUAUUUAUGGUCAUUAGAAAGAGUGCGAAAGAUUUGACAUAACCCCAGCAGAAGAAGAGGAGGCAGAUAAUGAUGCAGAUUUCCAUGGAAAGGAACGACCGUAUGUACACAGUCACCGUCGGCAAGCAACCCAUCGUCACUCUAUGGGCUUGGUGGGACCAGGAGGUCAAGGAAUUCAUCCGUCAAGUACGCAGAAUCCACGGCAAGAGGAACACCCAAGACCUCAUCGUGGGCCUUUGGGCUGAUCACAGCGCCAACUACUCCGGCGGCUACAGCUACUACUACGACAGCAAAAGAGGUACCUUUAUGCCUAUAAUAAUAAUAAUAGUAAUGCGUUUUCAUGAAUCAUUGCUUAUUAGUUAGUUAAACUCAUGUGAAUCCCACUUUGAAAUACUUUAAAGGCGGCGGCAAAAACAGGCCCUUGGAGGUGAUGGCGCUGUGCGUGGGGCAUCACUGCCUUCUCAUUGAACUACAAGGCGGUUGCAGCGAAGGGAAAGUCCUUAGAGAAAGGAAAGUCCUUAGAGACUUUCUCUUUGAUCGGCACACGGUUGUGGUGGGCGUGGGGACGGAGCGCCUGGCGAAGAAGCUGGAGGAAGAGUAUGGGAUAUUGAUCCCCAGGAGGGUGGAGCUGCUAGGGUUGGCCCAGGCGGACAGGGGAUUGCAGCAGGAAGAUGGAAACAGUUUGAAUCUGAGUAGGUGCAGUUUGGGGGAGUUGGCGAGGGUGGUGUUGGGGGAGGAGGUGAAUUACGUGAGGCCCACCAAGAUCCGUUGGCGGGAGAAUCAGUUCGAUUGGGGCCCGUUUUCCAACGACUUGGUCAAGUGUUCCACUGCUGAAGCUUUUCUUGCUGCUCAGAUGGGGGCUAAGCUGUUGAAGAAUGGCCCUCACACAUGAUCCUGGCAUUAGGGUUUUAGGGUUAGUAACCUAGGGUUUCACUCUUCUAUGAUUUUUGUUUUAUUUUUAUUAAUCACAAUUCAAUGGUUAGGGUUUCGAAUUGAUUUUGAUUUGGGCACAAAUCCAAAACAACAAACGCCCGAAAUGGUCUGCGCUAAUUUAGUUUUUGAUUUUGAAAUCGUAAAUAUAAAAAAUAACAACUUUUAUUUUUCCUUUGUGUGAGUUCCUAUUAGGAUUAGGAUUAGGAUGGUAAACCUGAUAGUGAUCAUAAGGACUAUGUACUUAAUUAGUUACUUUUUUAAAAAAUAAGACUUAAUUUUAAAUCACAAAAAAUUACAUUGAUAUUGCUCAAGAUUCUCUUCAUCAUCCUCCACCUCUCUUGUAUCAUUUUUCUGAUCUAUUUUAAUUCUUUCUUUAAAAAUAUAUUAUUUUUGUUACUUAAAAUUUUAAAAAUUAAAUAAAUAAAUAAAAAUCAAGAAAAUCUUAUUUAUACAAAGAAAAACUUUUUUUUUUAUCAUCUUUUAAUUUAAUUUGUUAAUUUUUUAAUUCUAAUUUAUGACUUUAAAUGUAAAAUUUAGUUUGGAACGAAGUUUAUAAAAAUAAUUUAUUGAAUUUAAAUUUAUGUUUUAUUUUCUUAAUUGUACGGAACAUGGACACCGAUCUCUCAUAUAUUAACUUCUUUCUUGCAUCUUGGUUGUGCAUGACAACUAUGACGUGGGUUGAUAGUUGACACAGGAUUUUAAGCAACUAUUUUAUAAGAGUUGCAUCAAUGACUUUAUAUAUGAAUUAAGCAGCUUUUUUCUUUCUUUUUUGGUGAAAGAAGACAUCAUGCACGAACAUGAGAGGGAGAGGGAGGUCCAUGAUCGUUUGGACUUCCAAAAGCAAAAGCUCUUUUGGAUAAAGAUGUGAAUGAGUUACUUGUAGUUUUUGCGGAACUCCACUUAAUAAAAGAUUGAAACAAUGACUUAUUUGGUUAUCUUUAAUAUUUGAAUCCCAUGCUUAAUCACACUUUAACAGCAGUUACUGGAAUCAGCUUCCCUUUGGCUAUGAUUUACUUGGAAACCAGCAAACCACACACCAAUGUUCCUACGCCUGACGUCAGAAAUUUGAAAAACCCAGCUUCGGGGCAUAGGUGUGACUUGUGAGUUCAUCAGAAAAUUGAAGUAGAGAGCUUUACUCCAUCCCAUAUGCUCUGGUAUGAUUCUGAGGCAAAAGGAUUCAAUGGAGCAGCUUUUCCCGAUAAGGGAACCACUAUGGUGUAAAUAGUGUGGUGCUCCUUGGUGGUCCACAUUACUUAGCCCCCAAAAUCCACCAUGGGAUGAUUAAUAUGUUGGAAUUUUUAUGUGUGGACUUAUAUAAUCAAUUUAAUAAUAUUAUAAAUCAAUGUUAAGUUAAUUUUUGUAUUGUGGUCCAUAAUGGGACUUGACACAUAUUAUUACUUGAUUUUUUAUGGAUUCACCUAAUUCACUUGACUGGCCGAUUAAGUCAAGUGGUCCAAAUAAAAUGUAUAAUGUGUAAUAUAUAUAUAUAUAUAUAUAUAUAUAUAUAUGCAUUUAGAGAGACUCCUUUUCUUCUCCACACACACUUACACUUCGACUGAAUUUUUGGGGAAGAAAAGGAAGGGCUCAUUGAUCCCUAAUUCUCAUACCAUCACGCACCUAGAACAACAUCUUGGAUAUCAGAGGAGGAAUAAAUGACUUUUCAUGGCAUAAAUCAAGGUAAUCGGUUCAUUUUUUGUCAUUAAAUGCAUGCUUAAAUGUUAACAUGUGAUCCUAUGCUAUUUCAAUUCUCUUCAUAAUGCCCCAAGUAAUUGGGUCACCGAUCCGCCGUGGUGGGUUUCGGGCGAGAUGGGUUGCUUCUUAAAUGAAAGAAAGAAUCAUAUGAACAGGUAGAUGAGGGAGUUACGGUCCCUUCCUCAGCUACCUAUCAUUCAUUUGCAUCAAUGUAGGAAGCCUGGACCCCUUGUGUAUGCCUUUUUGCAGCCUUCCAGGAAACCCCAUUUCUCUGGGUACAAUGUAAUGGGCCAUAAAACGGCCCGUUAGGUGGAUCAGGGGCCCAAUACAUAAUUGAACGGUCAGAUUGCCAUGAGAAAUGGGAGUAAAAUAUGAAGCUUUUUUAUUAGAUGUGCAUAUAGAUGAAUCAGGGAAGCGCACUAUUUCCAAAUCAACAUCACUUUUAGACAAGGAAGUUCCUCUGCAACUCUCCCCUCCCUCUUCUUCUUGGUUCUCUCAAGUGGUAACACACCCUGUGUUUGUUUGAGCUGAAACCCCAUUUUCAGAUCUCUCCUCCAAUGGCUAAAACCAGAAACCCGAGCAAGUCAUAAAGGAAAGCUGCACAAAGCAAGACCAGGUACCCCAAAAAUCAGAGAAACCUCCCUCUUUCAGAUCUCUCCUCCAGUGGCUAAAACCAGAAACCCGAGAAAAGUCAUAAAGGAAAGCUGAACAAAGCAAGACCAGGUACCCCAAAAAUCAGAGAAACCUCCUCCUUGGGCGGUUGUGAGAAGCCUUUUGACCUGCAAACACCUCCAGACUCAACAACAGAAGCAGCGAGAACAAACCGUCCAGGGAAGCGGCAAGAAGUGCAAGAAAAUGAAGUGUUCCGGUUCACUGCGCAGCAACUCAAAGGUCAUGCCCAGGCCUGAAAUGUCUUCACCAGAAGACCACAAGAAAAGGACGUCGAUGGCUUCAUCCAACAAUGACGGUUCCAGCAGAUCCAUGAAAGCUCCUCUUAGUGAACUCAAUGGGGUUGUUUCCUCCACUUCUUCUUCAUUGUCUGCGUCUUCUAACUCUUCUUUUGGUGGGUCCUUUAAAGGAAUGCCUCUCAGGAGACUAUCUGGGUGUUAUGAGUGCAGAAUGGUGGUUGAUCCGGUUCUUGGAAUCACUAGAGACCCUUCUUUGAGAACCACCAUCUGUUCCUGUCCUGAUUGUGGUGAAAUCUUCAUGAAAGCUGAAAUUUUGGAGCUUCAUCAGGCCGUCAGACACGCCGGUGAGUACCCACUUCCAGGUUUCAGUCAAUGAUCGGUUUUUUUUUUAAAAAAAAAAAAGAAGAAAAAAACCAAAGAAAUCUUAAUUCAUUUAUGCUUAAUAGUAUUAUUUUUGUAAUAUUUUAUUUUUACUAAACAUUAAAAUUAAAAAAUCAAUAUAUUAUUAUUAUUUUUAGUUUUUUCUAUCCAAUAAAAAAUUAUAAUUAACGAUGAAAAAGUAAAAAAAAAACAUUGCUUUCAGCCCAAAAAAACCUAAAAAAACAAACACCUUAAAUUAAACAAAACAGCACCACCGAUUGUAUUUAGUCUAUUCAUCGGGAGGUUCCGGAAACUCAAUGAUGAAAAACCAGGACUUGGAAGACUUUAAUUUUAACUUCUUUUGCUUUAUUUACUCAGUGACCAAACGUAAUCUUAUGGGAAAUCCUUUAUCUUGCCAAUUUCAAUUAGCUUUUCCUACUUACAAUACUCAUUGUUGGUCUGUCAAAAUUCAGUGUCAGAACCGGGUCCAGAAGACACAAGCAAGAACACGGUGGAAAUCAUAUUCCAAUCGAACUGGCUAAAGAAACAGGCCCCAGUCAUUCUCAAAGUCCACAACACCCCCAAAACCAUAUCCAAAUUUGAAGAAUACAGAGACUCCAAUAAAACCAAAGCCACCAAGCUCCCAAAGAAACACCCACGCUGCGUUGCAGACGGCAACGAACGCCUCCGCUUCCACUGCACCACUUUCGUCUGCUCCAUCGGCCUCAACGGUUCCUCCAAUCUCUGCAACUCAAUUCCAAGCUGCAAUAUCUGCAGUAUCAUCAAGAACGGUUUCAAGGUCGCCGGAGGGGUUCCCGGAAAAAGGAUUCUGACCACAGCCACCAGUGGAAAAGCCCGUGACAGUGCUAGAAUGUCGUCGCCGGAUGGUAAGGUGAAGAGGGCCAUGCUGGUUUGCCGAGUAACAUCUCACGUUGACUUCUCCAGAUCCAAUGGCUUGAGUGCAGGUAUUGUGUCGUGUGUCCUUCUGUUUGCUUGCUGAGAAAGUGAGGGAGAAAAAGGGAGGGAAUUUGAAUGUAACAUUGUGCUUUUGGUGUUUUUCGCUUUCUGAAAAAACAAGCCAUUUUUAUUUACUUCUUCAAAUCUGUUGAGUGAAUUUUUUUCUGCUGUUUUCUCUACAACCAAACUGAGAAAAAACAGAGUUGUGGGCGGGCAGAUUUGGUGCACUGAAGCUUUUCUUAUCUCUUUCAUCCAUGUUUUCGGACUUUCAAUUACACUGGGCUCCCGUCUCAUCAGCCGUUUUUAAAUCAUUGUUGCGAUAAUGAAUUUCCAGUCUGUGUUCUUGAAAAUUUAGGGAGAAUUUUUAAUCAGUUUUUGGCUAAUGCUUGUUUGGUUGCUGAGAAAACAAUAAGGGGGAAAGGUCAAAAUUUUCUUCCUUUCUUCCGCUCUCUGUGAUCAAACUAAGCUUCGUUCUCAUUGUAGUAAUUCAAACACCUCAUGUUCUUUGCAGUCGGAAAUUACUACCAACAGGAAAUGGGUGGUGCUACUUGCAUUCAAGGUAAUUAAUCAUCGCUCUUUUCUACUUCAAUCAAGCUUGGUUUAUUUUGAGUUUUCAUCUUUAUUGUUAUAAUUUGUGGGAUAAAUGAGUUAUUUUCCCCAAAAAUUGUCUGACAACCUGCAAUCCAUAUUCACUUCUAAUCACGUGUCAUUCAAUAGCACAAAACAAACCCACAUAUAUAUGAAGAUUAUGUCAGAAGAUUGAAGUUAAAAAGUCAUAUAUCCAACCAUUUGAAGCCACCAUUUUGUAUGAUCAUUUGAUUUAGAUGAUAUGUUGCGAAGUGCAGAUCUAUGCUACACUAAAGAGUGGAUCCAUAGCCAUUGCUACAUCCACAUUAGAUUCAUUGCUAGAUCUCAGGAUCGGUGACAAAAACUUACUGCUACCAAUAUCCUAAUGGAAAAUUGCGGGUGUAGCUAGUAGACAUCAUUAUCUCUGUAGCUAUCAUGUAUUAAUUGACCUUUUAAUUUCUAUUCAUCUAAUGAUGCUUUAUGGGAUAUGAGAGUUGAUUUGAAUUUUAUUUUAUUUUUUGGUUGAAAUCCUUAUUUGAACGAAAAUGUCAUCACCUUAGAGUCGGAUUUUUUAUAAGGGUACGAUAAUUUUAAACAAUAAUUUCUAAAUUAUCGUAGUAGGAAAAAUAAUUCCAAAUCUACGGUAGUUUUUGCCAGGUAGGAGUGAAGGAUAUUUGUUUUCUUUAUCAACUUGGAAAUCGUCUAUUAAAAAUAUGAUUUCCAAAAAAUUUGGAAGAGAUGAUUUCCAUUUUUCUUUUUGCGGAUAAAUCGAUCAAUAGUGUACACUUAAUGUUUUUAUCACUACUUAAGGAACUUGGAGUUACUGGUACUUACAGUUGGGGUAAUGCUUACCUAGCUUGGCUAUAUCGAGAGAUAUGUCGAGCAUCCCAUAUUGAUGCACAUGAUGUAUUGGGUCAUCUCAUUUUGUUACAGUUAUGGAUAUGGAUGGAGUACUGCCACAACCACUUUUAGGCAUGCGGUAUGUAUUCAACCUUAGUUAUAGUAUAUGUAAAUACAUACAUGCAUAAAUAAACAAUUAUUCAAACUUUUAAUAUAUAUAUUCUUUUUGUAGUUGGAGAGAUGAGUUUUGUACUACUUCGACGUCUAUGCAUGUAUUACUCCAGUAUAGAUAUCUACUUGAUCGACUUAUGCCAGAGUAGGUGAGAAAUUCGUUGUUUUGAAUAAUUUUUUUAAACAAUUUAUAAUCAAAAUAUUAUUAAAUAAUGUGAGUCAUAUUUCAAAUUUAAUUGCAGAUUAUAUGGGAGCCAUAUACCGAUGAUGUCAUCUCUGAACUCCCAAAUUACUAUACUAUUGCUUUUGACUUGUGGUUGACUAUUUCACCCCUUAUCUGUUUUCACAUAGUGGAGUGGCAUAGAUUUGAUCGUUGUAUGAGGCAGUUUGGGCUACUACAACAUAUUCCCGAGCAAUGCGAUACAAAAUUAGGAUUACAUAAAUAUGAUUUGAGGGGUCGACAUGAUUUGGAUUGGAUAAGUAUUCAUCACCACUAUAUUCAAAGGUGGGAGGCUAGGUAUGAUCAUCUUGCUAGAGUUGAGGCAACAUAUACUUCUUACGGGUAUAACCACCCAUAUAAGGUGUGGUAUCGUUUUAUCACUCGCCUUUUUAUGACUCCACAUGGAUCUUCAUGGGAGAUAGUGGUAAUUAUAAUGUCUUUUUAUUUAUUAUUCUAUUUUAUUCUAAUUAGAAAAACAUUUAAUUUUUUAUUUUUAAUUCUUACAGAAUCGCAGUUUCCAACAGAUACAUCUAUGGACUGGUCUAAAUACACUGAAUAUAAGUCAUUGUGAUGAAAUUUAUCAAUUAUGUGCAACCACUUUAAAGGCUAUACACGAGGUUGAUAGGUUGCUUAUUCCCCCUAAUGUCGUUGAUACAUAGAGACAAUCAUCAGAUGAGGAGGUAGUGAUGAGAUAUGGUGGGGUACGAACUAGAGGUGGUAUGGUGCUGACCAGAGGUGAUGGGGUGCGGACCAAAGAUGGUGGGGUACAAACCAGAGGUUUAGAGAUACACGAGGUUGAUAGGUUGUUUAUUCCCCCUAAUGUCGUUGAUACAAAGACACAAUCAUUAGAUGGGGAGGUAGGAAUGAGAGAUGGUGGGGUACGAACUAGAGGUGGUGGGGUGUGGACCAGAGGUGAUAAGGUACGGACCAGAGGUGGAGGUGUUUGAACUAGAGGUGGAGGUGUACAAACACGUGGAUGCCAUAUUUAUGAUGAUCCACACUUCCCUAUUGAUGAUGCAUCGCUAGAUUUUCCAUCAUCAUCGCCUCUACAACAUUUUGUCUUCACUUUUUCAACACCACUUGACCAGUCAUUACCUCAUUCAUCAGUUCCAUUCAUUGAUGAGGGGGUGAUACAAGAAGAUGUUGGGACAUUAUUCAUCCAGGAGCUAUUGCAUUCUUAUAUUGAUGGGCCUUCUUUUCAUAUACUUAUGUCAUCUAGUAUCAAGGUGUCAUUUACUCCAUCUACAACACCACUCAUUGUUUUGUCACUACAAUCAUUAGGACAUCUAUUUAGAGAUGUUAUGGCGACACAAAUGCAAUAUUUUCCUACACCACUUGUUGAACAACAGGGAGAGGCUCAGGUUCAAGAUCAAGGACGUGGACAUGGAAGAGGUCGAGGCCAAGGACGAGGACGAGGAAAUGGAGCAACAUUAGAUGGUCCCUCAAAUCAAUCUGAGUUGGAAAGAUGUCAUCAACGCCCAUAACCAAGAAGGAAACCUCCUUCAUGUGGCACACAUUGAUGACUUUUAUAUAUUUUAUCGAACAUAAAUUGUUAAUACAUGUUUUUUUGUUACUUGUUGGUUUAUUUGUAUUGAUGUUGCAUAUUAACUUUUAUUGGUUGUUAGUUUACUAGUAACGUAUGUUAAUUUAUCGUCUGCUGGUAUUGAAGUUGUCAUGUAGUAAUAUUGAAUUUUAAUAUUUUAGCUCUGUUGACAUUCAUCGUUAUUAUUUUAUUAGUUGUUAUGAUGUUUGUUGGUUUAUUAGUUUAUAUAUAUGGACAAAGUAUUAGUUUUUUUUAUUUAUAAUAGUAGUUGAUUUUUUGUCAUUUAUUAUUUGAAUGUGUUUGAUUGUUUAGUGAUUGAACAUAUUAAUGUAAGUUAUCAAUUGAUAUAUAUACUUUCUUUGUUGAUGGUUCAUAUGAAUAAGGUUAUUGGUUUUUUUGCAUUCACGAUAAUAAUUGAAUUUCUAUCAUAGUUGAUAUUUUAUUAAUUGUUGGGCUAUUGUUGGUUUUUUAACAUUUACAUAAAUAAUGUUAUUGGUUUUUUAUAAUCAUGAUAUUUUAUUUUAAUUUAUUUUUUUAUAAUUAAUUCCUUUUACAGUGAAAUUUGAAGUAAUAUUUUUAAUUUUAAAAUUUAUAUAAUAAAAUUUAUUUUAUAAAUAAUUAUUUAAUAAAUUAAUAACAAAUUUGUUUUUUUAUAAAAUCAUUUUUCACAUAAACAAAAAAGAAAUAGAUAAAUAUUAUUUAUCUUAUAAAUAAAAAACAAUAUCAAACUAAAUUAAUUUUACUAGUUGUAAUUAAUUGAAUUAAUUUAAAGAAAAAUUGAAGAUUAAGAACAAUUAAAAUUAUUUAACUUAUUUUUUUUAUUAUAUUUUAUUGAUUUUACAGUGAAAUUUUAACUAAAAUAUUAAUAUUUUUAAUCUUAAAAUUUAUACAAUAAAAUUAAUUAAAAAAUUAAAACAAAACAAAAUUAUUUAUUUUGUAAAUAAUUAUUUAAUAUAUUAAUAACAAAUUUGUUUUUUUAAACUCAUUUUUUCACGUAAAUUGAUAACAUUUUUUUUUAAUUGCAAAGUGAAAGAAAAAAAUAGAUAAAUAUUAUUUAUCUUAUAUUAAAUUUAGCAAAUAAAAUUAAUUAAUUGUAUAAUAUAUAUUUAUAAUAAUUGUAUGAGUAUAAUUAAUUUUUUAAUUCCAAAUUGGAUUUAUAAUAUAUUGUUAUAUUAAAUUAUAUUAUUUCUUUUUAUAAUAUAUACAUAAUUAAUGGUAUUAAAAUAUAUUAAAAUUUUAAAUUUUGGUGGAAAUCGUAUCUCCAAGAGACGAUUUCCAAUUAUGAAUUUUUUUUUUAAAUCAUUUUUUGAAAAGACUAUUUCUACUUUCUUUUUUCUUUUUUUGAAAAUAGACAAUUUCAUUUUUUUUUUUAAUAGGGAAAUCAUCUCUUCAAAAGACGAUUUCCAAUUCAAUUUUUUGGAAAUCAUCUUUUUAACAAACGAUUUCUGAGUGGUUAUUAUAUAUAUAUUUGUUUUGGUGGAAAUCAUCUUUUAUAUAAUAUUUGUUUUGGUCGAAAUCAAUUAUUAAAUAAUAGAUAAAUAUUAUUUAUCUUCUAUUAAAUUUAGCGAAUAAAAUUAUUUAAUUGUAUAAUAUAUAUUUAUAAUAAUUGUAUGAGUAUAAUUAAUUUUUUAAUUCCAAAUUGGAUUUACAAUAUAUUUUUAUAUUAAAUUGUAUUAUUUCUUUUUAUAAUAUAUACAUAAUUAAUGGUAUUAAAAUAUAUUAAAAUUUUAAAUUUUGGUGGAAAUCGUCUCUUAUUGUGGUUUUUUUAUUUUAUUUUUUUUGGGAAAUCAUCUUUUCAAGAGACGAUUUCCAAUUCAAUUUUUUAGAAAUCGUCUUUUCAACAAACAAUUUCUGAGUGGUUAUUUUAUAUAUAUAUAUAUAUAUAUAUAUGUAUAUUUGUUUCGGUGGAAAUACAAUUUUCAAGUUGAUAAAGAAAACAAAUGUCCUUCCCUCUUACCUGGCAAAACUAACGUAGAUUUGAAAUUAUUUUUCCUACUAUGGUAAUUUAAGAAUUAUUUUUUAAAAUUACCGUACUCUUAUAAAAAAUCCCCUUAGAGUCACUAGUUUGUUGCUAAAGAAGACAAGUCACUUGCACAUAUUUAAAUACUGUGAAAAUUGGAUUUUGUAGUUCUUAGCUUGUUAAUUAUUGAAGCUUCACUGUACUGUAGAUUUAGAGAUACGAAAACGGAUAUAUAUAUAUAUAUAUAUAUGAACAAUUUAUGCAUUAAAAUCUUGUAGUUGGACAAAAUUGCCUUAAUCCUAUCAGUUUAUUAUGCUAAUGAGUGUGGUUCAAAGAGAAGACUUCUUCAAGUGUACAAUAAUAUCGAAAAACACAAAAUCUUUAGAAUUAAUCAAUAUGUAUACCCUCAUAUAGCAAAGUUUCUUAGGCUCAAUAUUCGACUUUUCUUAGGUAUAAGUACUCUUUUUGAAUUUUUUUUUCUUUAUACAUGAUUUUGAUAUGUAAUUGUAGUUUGAAUGGUCGUGUUGAUAGUUUUUUCAUGUUAUUAACUUGUUUUUUGAAUAAUCCUCCAAUAUAGUAAUUACUUAGAAAUAUAAAAUUGGUGAUCAAUUAUGAUCUUGUUUGGGAUAACUUUCUAUUUUUUUACUUCAACUUAAAGUUUAAGUUGAAGGUAAAGUCAUAAUUUGUAAAGGAUAAUAUUGAUAGUGUAAACAUUUUAUUUAAUAGAAAAAACUUAUUGCAUAAACCAAAAUAAAGUCUCUACAAAAAGUAAUAUUUUUUUACUUUCAUAUUAAACCCCUUUUUAAGUGGUAAGCAAUUUGAACAAAGUUAUCCAUAAUAGGUAUAAAAGUUCUUAGUAAGCUUAAAGAAAAACAAAACUUUUGUUUCUUAGAACUCGUGAUUUACAUAAUUAAGAAUUUGUGUCAAAUUGUUUUAAAAAAUACAGGUAGUUUCUUCAGAACUGUUUUUUAAAACAGUUCUUUCUAGGACAAAAGUCCAUUUGGGAACUUUGGAAGAUUUUGUUUUCUUAAAAGUAACUUUUUAUUUGUAGUGUUUUAUUUUUCAUCAUUUUUCACAUUUGCAUAGUUAUUUUUUAAAAUAGCCCCUAGAAAAUAAUUGAAAACAAUUAAGAUUUGUUUUGAAAAGAUACUUUGUUUUCUUAACAAUUAUUCAAAAAAAUUGUUUCUUGUUAAAAAAUUACCAAACAUGUUUUUUACUAUGGAAAAAUAGAAAACUGUUUUUCAAAAUCAUUCCUAAACAAGUUUUAAUUUUCUAUAUAAAUUCCUGGUUUUUCAGAAUUUGACUUAUAAAAAUCAUCAUUUGCUACAAACUAAAAAUGCCUUUUUCUUUCAAUGGAAGCAAGUUGACAUUGAACUUCAAGAAGAUUUACCCUUGAAAAAAGCUCAUACCAUAGGAGAGACCUUGCAGAUAAAGAUUAAAAAGCUUCCUAAAGUUAAGUGGAUGUUUGUUCAUCUGAUUUCGAAUGUGAUAACAAUCUCUGAGUAGGCUAUCUAAUAAUCAAGCUUUUUUUUUGGAUUCCUUGUAUUAAAAAGUACGAUGAGCUCAAAUAUUGAAAACUUAACUUUUAGAAAAAUUAGUAAUUCAACACCUUGGUUGUUAUAGAUGUUGACAUUUUCUUUUCCUAUUAUGAGUGGACAUUCAUCACUAUAUUUGUGUAAUAUGUAAGGGAUAUAGACUUAUAUAUAUAUUAUUUAAGUUUAUAUCAAUUGAUAAAUAGAUAAGUCAAUGGAUAAGGCAUCCAAGCACUACAAAGAAAAAAUCAAUUUGGACUUAUAUUAUCUUGAUAAAUAGCAAUAUAUGUCAAUGUUGUGUAUUAAAAUGAGCAAUUAUGACAGAAUGAAUUAUAAUGAUGCAACCUUGACAAACAAUUUAUAAGUUACUAUAUAGUUGAUGUAUUCAUAUAUAUAUAUAUAUAUACUAAAUUUUUAUGUUAUUUAUAAUGAUAUAUAACCUAUAGAAAAUUGGUAUAAGUUUAUAUAUAGUUAAUAUAUUCAUAUAUGAAGGCUAUACUUGACAACAUACCAUUUUUUAAAGUCUAUCAAGAUUGAUUUUAGCAUAUAUUGAAAAUUUUGCUUUUAAUUUUUUUUUUUUCAAUUUUCACCAUUGAAAAUUUUGUGAAAAGGAGAUUAAUUGUUUAUAAAAAUUUAUUGGAUUCUAUAUUAAUCCUUAAUGUUAAUGUUAAUAUCCCUUAUAGGAUUAGGUUCUUAUUCUUGUAUUCUUUUAUGAUCUAAAUUAGGGUUUGAUUAAAGAAUAAAAUGUAGCAUGAAUCGAGGUUUUAUUAAAAGAUAUAAUAUUGCUUCUUCUUUUAAGAGUUCUAUUUAUUUUUUUACAACUUUAGUACUUUCAAAAAUGUUUUUAUGAUAUUUUAAACAACUUUGGUGCUUUAAAAACAUCGUCCUUAUUUGAGGUAAUUUUGGUGCUUCUUAUAAGCAUGCAUACACAAAAUUAAUAUUUAGGAUAAAAGCUUGUUGCUUAUAAUAACAAAAUUUAUUAUCUUCAAAUGAGACCAUUAAAAAUACGUAUUUAUUUUGUUUUUUUAUUAAAAUUUAAUUGUCUUUUUAUAAAAUUGCUUUUGAUAGAAAUGAUACUAAUAGAGUCAUUAUUGUUUUUUUAAAAAAAAUACUAAAAUAACUAAAAGCAUUUUUCACCUUUUAAUUUAUAUGAGUAAAUCAUAAUAUUAAAAGUUAUUUGAAAAAUAAUCAAUUUUUUUUUUAACAUAAAUGUUUUUUACAAUUUCAGGUAUUUACAUAUAAUUUUUUUUUAAAGGUUACUUUUACCAUAAAAAGAUGAGAACAUUUUUAUCAAAAUAAGGUAAAAAAAAUGAAAGGUUAGACCUUGUUGGAUAAUGUUUUGGAAAAAGCCUCUGAAAAAUAGUUUUUAAAAUUGUUUUAUGAUAUUUUAUAAAACAAAAAUUUGUUUGGAAACCUAAAAUGGUUUUAACCUAUUUUUAAUAUUAUUAAAUAUGUUUUAAAAAUAAUUUUUAUCUUCACAACUUUAUUUUUAAUCAUUAUAUAUAUUUAUAUAAUUAUUUUUUAAAAUAAAUAUAAAAAAACAAGUUAAAACAAUUAAAAGAUGUUAUUUGAAAACAAUAUAUUUUAUAUUAAGAACACAAAAUAGAAAACAAUUUCUUGUUACCAAAACGUAUUUUCUAAUUUUUUUUUACUUUAGAAAACAAAAAAAACUGUUGUUGAUCAAAUAAGUUACCAAAAACUGUUACAAAAAUUUGGUUUUCAACUAUUCUUUUAAUCAAAUAAGUUAAUUUUAUAUUGGGUUUCUGCUGUGGUCCAUGGGUGUCUAGCCCAGAAUUGUAUUUGAUGUGGCCCGUGGUUGUGUUUGAGCCACACACACUGACAAUGAUUCCUUUCAAACCGAAAAAGUGUCAACGUGAUAUAAGGUAAUGUUUUUUUAUUGCUAACAAUAGACUAUUAGUAGAGCAUAGAGCUGCAGGGUGUCCAAAUUUGAGAGAGGAAGAGGAGGAACCCCUUGGGAGUCCCAAGAGCUACUUACUAGCUCCAUCAUGCACAUGGCUUAAGGUUUUAGUUGAAAUUUUAACAGUAGCACCCACCUCUACUCCUCUUUUAGCUCCAAAAUUAUUUCCAAAUUUUUCUUUGCCUCUCUCUUCUCUGUCAUAUGAGCUUUGCUGACCCUUUAAUGAUGCAUGGGGUGAUGUCAAAACAACAAGACCACAAUGAGUAUUUCAAUGAAAAUGCGUUGAUGAUGAUCUUCUUAAUCCUGAAUUCUGAUAUGAUAAAUGACAGAUUUAGUGGACAGAAGAAACACUAGUACUACUUAAAUAAAGAAUUCAGUGUAGCAUUACAUUUUGUAUUGAGCAAUUUGAGAAUUCAUCAUAACCACCAUCCCAACAAAGUAAAACCAAAGGAAGUUUCCCACAGAACUGCAUCCACUUUGAAGUUUGAAAAGAAGUCUUACUGUGGUAUAAGUUAUAUAACAAGUGAUCAUUGUGGGCUGUGGAAAAUCCCAAAAGAUAGGUUAAAAGCAAUCACCAUUGGUGCCUAUGUGUUUGUGCUUCUCAGUACAUAUCAAUGAAUCAGUUUCGCUCUCAAUUUCAAGUCAAUAUUGGGAUGUAGUGAUUCAUGAUAACCUGGGUUUUGUCAUAGCACUGAAUCAUGAAUUCAUUUCUUGUUAAUUGUAUUGGGACUUGGAAAGAGAUUCCCAUCAUUCCCUUGGUUCUUGGAGAUUCUUCUCUAAUCCUCCAUUUCCUAUAAUUAAUUACAGAAAAGGAGAAGUCAAGGGAGACAAACUUCGAAUCUUUUUAGAAAGAUGGUGGGGAAGGGUGAAAGAAAGAAAAGUAACCAGACCAGGAGGGUUUCUGGGAAGACUGGGAAGGCCACCACCAACCCACUCAGCCUCAACCACGUCUGGUACAAUGUGGAAAAGAAUUACUAAAAAAAAGUGGCACAUGGCAUCGUAUGAUUUCAACCAAUGGCUUGUAAUCAUGGACCCCCACCCUUGGAGGCGGCCGCAGCCGCCUUCACCAGCACCACCGCCACCAGCACCACCACCAUAGAGUUGGGUGAACGUGACAUUCACUCACAUUAACAUCAUUGCGGAUCUCUAUCUGAUGAUCUUAUAAAGACGAAUCUUUUUAAUAAAAUCAUCUCACACGUGCCUCACACUUUUAAUUUUUACUCCUGAUAUUAUUUUAAGAUGGAGGUGGAUGAAUAGGGAACUAGUCCCUUUUACCGUUUGGGAAAUUGCAUGCCAUGGCAAAUUGGCAAUGGUGCACUUCUCCACCAUCAAUAUUGGAGGGUAGGGGGCUAUCGAUUAAAAAGGAUGGUCACUAGACGCCAAACCCAAAUAUGGAAACUGUUUAGAUUUCUAACAAAAGGGUCCCUACCCCACAAAGAGAGGUCACCUUAUUGGUAGUUGUGGUCCUAACCCUAAGCCCCCGCCAUCUGAUCACUUCAUCAAAGGCCUAUCACCCAUAACUUUGUGUCAGAUCAGAUAGGAGAGGACCUUCUACAACUUGGGUUGGGUGGUCCAGGCAGUUCACACUUGUCUCUUAUCAGUUGAGAUCAGGGAGGAGCACUUUGGGUGCAGGUGAUGAGAGUACAUGUGGUCCAGUGUAUGCAAAUCCAUCUAAGAGUAGCUUCAAUUAUUUAACUAGAAAAGUUCAACAGCAACAAGUGAAUAAUCUUUGAGGAGACAAGGAUAAAGCCAUUGUUUAAAUUCCUGCUGUUUUGCAUUGAGAAGUAGAGAAAGUUACAUAGUGGAGGAGGGGACUCGUAUAUUUGAAUUCCAAAUACAUACAUAUGGAGUCCCGCCUUCCUUCUGAGACAGUAAAAAAAAAAAAGCAACAUGAAACUACGGUACAACAACAAUGACAAUAACAGUAACAGUGACAUCCCUUUAGGCUUGUUAUGAACAUCAACAAGAAUUGAAGUCCUGAUGAGAUCUUCCCUUGUUAUAGAAAUGCUUAUUAACUGCAAUUCUUGUAAAUCAG